AACUUCCCCCUAGUUUGGAUGUGAUGUUUUUGAGUUUAAGUUUUGCAUGAUGGUUUUAUGUAGUGAUGUUUGCGAGAUCGAUCAGUCUACAUAUCUAUAAUAUGCUAUCUUGAUUCACUCCAGUAAAAUAGCUCUGCGAAAUACUUCUGUUUCUGCUCGUGUUUUGAACUGUCUAGGUGGUACUCCAUGGUGUGAGUAGACGUUUGUAUGGUGGCGGCGCCAGCCGCCAGGUUUUUGCCCCAUUGAUUCGUCUUGAUUGCAGGCGGUAGGUGGUUGGUUUCCUGGCGGAUGCCUUAGCUCUACUUCUCUCUCCUGCCCCUUGUUUCUUUGGUUUCCAUGUGGAUAAAUUUAGCCUUUUCAUCAUAAAAUAAUGAAAAGGGGAGUAUCCUGGUUUUUACGAAUCUGAUGGUAUGAUGCCUAUGAUACAAUGGUGGUUGAAUUUAUGAGCCUGAUUGGUAUGCAGCCAAUUUUGGCCAAAACUAGAACUUGUAAAAUAUGGGGCAACUUUUGCCAACCAAUUUUUAUGCCAAAAUUUGGAAAACAACAAUGGUUUAGGGCAACUACAUCAAAAUGGACCUCAGCCAUCAUAAACUUUUGCCAACCAAUUUUUAUGCCAAUAUUAGGCAUCAAAUGUCCGUUUUCAAUAUAUUUUGUGCUCUUUAAAGCAAUUGAAAGAUAAGUAUUCCAAUGCAAUAAUAAUUCAAAUGAAAAUCUUACAAUCCAAACAUAAAUUUAGAAACAAAAUAGUUCAAGUUAGAAUUCAACUUAGAUACAAUGCUCUAGUAGUCUAGAUGAAACACCCAAAGAUGCUCAACCAGAUCUUUCUGGAGCCGCUCACGCAUUCAUCUACUGGACGGGUCUGUUCUAGAAGCUUGAUAGGAUCACCCAUGUUUGAAAAUUCAGAUCAACGAACUCCAUCAUUCUCAUCCUCGACAAUCAUGUUAUGGUGGAGGUAGGGGUGGCCAGCAGGGGCCAAGCCCACCCCAUCAUCGCAAUUUUAUUUGUAUUAUGCAUAUGACCAAUGCUGUUUUUAAAAUUUUGCUUUACGCCGGCCCUUCCUAGCAUCAAAUUUUAGGCAAUCCUGCCUCCGCCACUGCAGAUCACACAAGCUGUCCUCACCCCCCACAAUGUCUCUGGAUCUCAUAGUUUAGCAGCUUCGCGAACAACUGCAUAACAUGCUUGGAUCACUCCAAAUGCCCUCUCAACAUCCUUUCUAGAAGAUUUUUAUCUUUGUGCAAAGUGACAUUGUUUGUUACCCCUUGGCUCGGAGAUGGUCUUGACGGAAAUCGCACAUGGAGGAUAGAUACCAUCACAAAGAUAAUACCCCGUGUUGCAGUCAUUAGCACCGAUGCUACAAUUGCACUCAGGAUCUUCGUUGGCGCAGAACCUUACAAACAUAGGAGAUGGCUACAACACAUUGGUGUCACUGUGAGACGCAGUCAUGCCAAAGAAAGAAUGCCAAAUCCAGAGAUCAUCUGAUGCAACUGCUUCAAAAAUGAUGAUGAUCUUUUUACAAUGGCCUUCGUAUUGCCCUUGUUGGGCAUAUGGACAGGUCUUUCAUUUUUGGUGCAUGCAAUCCAUGGAUCCGAGCAUACAUGAAAACCCUCUUGCUUCUCCAAUUGCCAUGACCCUUGUUGUGUCUGCAGGAAUUGGUUCUCACAAGUACUCCGGUCCAAACACCUUCACAACCACAAUAGUAAAUUUGACCAUCGCUUCGAGGUAUGUGCUUUCAGACAUCCGGAGGUACUCGUCCCACUACGAUCGUGCCAUAGACAUGCAUCCGCAUUACAUCUGCGCACUUCUGAUAACUAGAGAACACAAUGGUUCCAAUGUCACGCUUCCUCAGUAUGAAGUACUCAUCAUAGGCCCGGACACCAUGGUAAAUGCGAUCGAACACUUGUUGCCGCAUCCGAAAUAACAACACAAAUAAUAUCGCAUAGGGGCAAAUUAUUCGACGACCAACAUGGGAUGCCACCUACCCUAUUCCGAUUCAAUACUCGAUGUCCCUUUAUUGAUCCCUUGUAGUCGAGAACAUGCUACACACGCACGCACCAUGUCUACCGCCUUCAUCAUCGUACUUUCAUCCUCAUCCGACUCCAUGAACUCUUUGUAGAAGUACUCCUCAUCUGAAUCCACCGUGUUUGCUUCAAAGUAAACAACUAGAACAUAAGAUUUCUUGGCAAUGGCAUUUGGCCGAGCACUUGCCAGGCGUAGUGUUUGCUAUGGACGAUGUCGGCAGGGAGCGGAGGUUACCUAUGCUGCGAUGGAAUCCAGGGUAGAACGGCGGUGCAAUCCAAGGCAGGAAAGCGCUUGCAUUGUGCGACGAAGGUCCGAUAAGGCCCGCGUGGCGGUCGGGGUUGUGUAGCGGCGGCGGUGGUCGCCGAGGGUGCAAAUACACAUCACAUGAAGAAGGAAGGAGUUGGAGAAACCUCUCCCUCAUUUGGUGCCAAUUUGUAGGAUUUUGAACAUUCGGAUAGGUCCAGACAAUUUUGAUGUGUGGGAUGGCAAAAAAUAUCCAGACUGUCUGGUCCAGACAUUUACGGGGGAUUUGGCGAUUCACGUUGGAGUUGCCCUUAGCUACCAAAUAUGCACAACUUCCAAACAAAGAGUUCAUCACAUACAUAACUUACAAGCUAUGUCAUACAAUGGCCGAAUUUUGGCCUAGCAGAAAUUCAACAGCAAAGUGUACUUGCAGUGUCAUUAGCAAAAAAAAAAGUGUACUUGCAGCGUGUGAUGAGAACCCGGCACAUAAAAUUUCUAGUUUGCAUCUAUGAUUUACAGUCUGCCAACUAGUCUAAAGUUUUGCUGAUUCAGAGUCCAAUGUUCUUCUACAAGCAUAAUAGUAGAGCAAGGAAGGUGGUCGGCAGCAUCAGUUGCUGCCAAUGCAGCAUGGCCGGCGGCUGCCACGACGCGGCAUCUGAGGUCUUGUUGAAGAUGCCUUUCGGCGUGCUCCCGCGCCGGCGCGGCGAGCAUGUACCAUUACUCUGCGCAACACACGCACAAAUAUUGUGUCAGUUCCUCUAUAAUACUGUAGAACACUUUGUCGAAACAUGCAGUAAACAUGGCAGGCAAGCAGCGAGGCAUGUAUGCUCAUUUACAUACGUUGCAGGCAGCUAUGCUUCCGCAUCCACAAACCAGCCCGCCGUUGGCCUUGUCCGUGGCUUCCGCGGCGCCGCCUCCGUCGCUUCUCUGGGUAACCAUCGGCAGAAAUUAAUCGACAUCAUCAGCACUCAGCGAGUCCUCAUCGUGCUCAUAUUCAUCAUAGAGUAACUACUCCGGCAGAUAAGGAUGUGAUGCUACCUUGUAGAAGUCGACGGCGAUGAAGUUGGGCCAUCUGUCCCCGGACGCGGCGUGGCAGGUGUCGAGCAUGCCCAGCAGCUGCGCCGAGUUGUCCUUGCACGCCUCCGGGAAGUUUGGGAGGUCCCGGAAGUAGUUCACCAGCACCAGCGACCUCGACAGGUCGUUCAUGGCGGCCGACUCGGCGCGGUUCGGGCACGACCCCUUCACCAUCCCUUUGCUCCCAUCUGCAGCACAUGGAAAGGAUAGAUACAACAUCGUCAGGUUCUCCUAUCUAUCGAUCGAUGAUGAUAGACGUGCACUUACACUGAUUCUCGACGACGUAGCCCCACUCGUGUGCGAAGCCCUCGGCGGCCUCCUUGGCGGACCUGGAGGUGAAGACGAGGAGGCGGUGGUUGUCGCGGACCAUGUCGCUUAGCAGCGGCCAGUCGCCGCCGUUCUUGGGCAUGCGCCACACCGGGAACAGGAAGGGCGUCAGGCCGGAGGCGUUGAACACCCGGGUGAGCCCCAUGGGCGCCUCCACGUAGUCCUCGAUGAAGAUCGUGAUCACCUCGGAGGGGUUCCUCCUCAGGAACGCCUCGAUCUCCCGGAGCACGUUCACGGCCGGCGUCUGUCGUCGACGAACAUAUAACCGCUAGUUAGUCGUCGAUGAGAGUGAUUGGUUCUAGUAAAGUAUCGUUUGGUUGGUGCUUACGAAUGCGGUGAAGUUUCGGCAGGCGCCGCCGUAGGAGUGACAGAGCCAUAUGUCGUUCCGGAAGUCGUACAUGUCCAGCAUCAGCCCCCUCACGCCGUUCUGCGACACAAGAAAUUCAAUUACUUGAGCUUGAGAACGUCAUCAAUUUUACCUUCGAAGUAGCCACAGCUCACAACGUGUUUAUUUCAGCGGGGAUGGAAUGCGGCCAGGAAUGGACGUGCUACCCGAAUUGGAGCGGACACCACACGUCUCAUCCACACAAGGAUACACAGGGAGGAGAGGAGUGCCCAUCACGGGUGGCUGCUCCUCCCCUGCCAUGUGUGCGGUAUGGGUGAUCCUUGCAGCUAGCAUUGCCGUGCCAACGCUCCAAGCAAGCGUGUGGGCGUGCACGCAAGACCGGCGCCCGGAGGUGCGCUGCGCCUUGGACACGUGGACGAGCAUCUUUGACAUGUGUUGCGUCCGGGGACACCUCACCCCACCGCACACUGACAGGGUCUAACAUGGACUCGGAUACUCGCCGGUCCCACAGGUCAGCAGGCAAACGGAAGAGAGAGCAGAGCGAGAGCGGGCGGCGGUGGACUCACGUUGAGCUGCUCGGCGAUGGUGUCCUGCUGGUUAAACGCCGUGACGAUGGCCGUCCCGGUCUGGGACUGGGUGCCCAGCCGCGCGAAGGAGUUGUGGGUCGUCAGCCACGCGUAGCGGUUGAACGGCAGCCCCCGGUCCUUGCUCUGCGGGUCGACGGGGGUCACGCGGGUGCAGCGCGGCCGCACGUUGCCGUCCACCACGCACGUCUCGCAGUGCAGCCCGGCGUCGCAGUUCCGCGACAGCGCGCACGUCUCGCUCACCUGCAGUGCAGCAGCCGGAGAUCAUGUCCGUCCACGGGAGCGCAGCGCAAACACAAUCGCGGCCGAGAAAGAUCAAUGUCACUGGUGACAUGUCCUCAACUACCAGCCAGCGUACCUUCCGAGCGGAGGCGACGGCGGGGCACGAGCACAGGAAGGCGGCGGCGGCGGCGAAAGCAAGGACGAGAAGCACCGUCUCCUUGGCCAUAUCAAUUCUUCUUGCCGCGGCCACCCGCCCCCGCCAAGCUCUGCGCUGCGCGGCUGGUGCUACGUUCUUGGAACGGCGGACAGCGGAAGCUAGUGGUGGAGCAAGCCUGCAAUCCUUGUGUUGUGUGACUUGUAAGGCCAGACAUUCCAGGUUUCGUCGCUUGCUUAUGUGCGUGGUUUAUGCUCUGUCUUUUCGCGUCGCCUGAUCUUGGUAGCUCGCUGCGGCGUUUGUUAUUGCGCUUGGCCCCAUGUGUCAGUCAAGGGGACGGAGUGAUGGUACGGGUACGGGCUCCUCCGGUUGGACUUUUUCACAAUUCAUUCUGACCCUUUCAACAAACUUUGUCAUAAAAUAAACUCGACGUGAAAGUAUUUCACGAUCUGACCCUUUUAGCAACGCCAUAGACCGCGGUGUUUCUGCCCAAAAUAGAAACGCCAAGGUAGCUAGCGUUUCUGACCAAGAAGAAACGCCGAGGUAGCUAGCGUUGCGGACCAGGUAAGAAACGCCGAAGGCGCUGACGUUGCUGCCCAUCAUUGAAACGCCAAUGACCAUGGCGUUGCUGCCCUUCUCCAUGUGCAUGUAAAAUGUGGAUGAACAACCCAACUAAUAAGGUUAAUUAAUUAUGACCAAAGAGGGCAGCAACGCCAUGGUCCCUUGGCGUUUCAAUGAUGGGCAGCAACGCCAGCGCCUUUGGCGUUUUUUACCUGGUCCGCAACGCUAGCUACCUCGGCGUUUUUUCUUGGUCAGAAACGCUAGCUACCUCGGCGUUUCUAUGUUGGGCAGAAACGCCGGGGCUGUGGCGUUGCUAAAAGGGUCAGAUCGUGAAAUACUUUCACGUCGAGUUCAUUUUGUGACAAAGUUCGUUGAAAGGGUCAGAAUAGUGAUUUCGGCCCCUCCAGUUGCGGUGGUCAGGUGCAAUGUCAGACAGUCGGAGUGAUACUCCCUCCGUCCCAAAAUUCUUAUUUUAAAUUUGUCUAGAUAUAGAUAUAUCUAAUACUAAAACAUGACUUCAUACAUUUGUAUUUAGGCCUCUUUUGGUUCGUAGGGUAGGAGAAUCAUAGGAAUAAGAAAGUUAUAGGAAAUGAGAUGACAUGCUUCUCAAAUCCUAUGAGUAGGAAUAGGAAAUGAGAUGUCCUUUGUUUCACAUCAUAGGAUUUUUUUAUUAAGUCUAGCCUAAUGUUUAUUUUCCUAUGAAAUGUGAAGGAUAGGAAGAAUUCCUCCAUAGGAAUAGGAUUCUAUUCCUACAAACCAAAGGGCAUUAAAGGAAUUUUUCCUACAGAAAUCCUAUCGUAUGAAAUCCCUACAAAAUUCCUCCAAACCAAAGGAGGACAAAUCUAAGACAAGAAUUUUAGGACGAAGGGAGUGCUAACAAUCGGGGGUGUUAGAGCAUCUACAGCCCCGGUACCAUAUUCGAUCCGUCAAACGUCCACGAGCGUGUCCGGAUAUGUCAACGAACAGUGACCGAACAGUCCUCAAAUUCCCUUCUUUGCAUUUGAAUACUUUAUAUCUUAAAUCGUAAAUCCAUACAAUCCAUACAAAAGAAAAGUGAUGCGGAGCAUCCCAAGGUCAUCCUCAUGGACCUACCAUCGUCCCACCGAGUGCCAAGUGGACCCAUGACACAAGCACGUGUAAGAGCUCUCAAAAUCGAGGUGACAUCUCUCCUCUCGCAAUUCCUCUUUGAAACACAUGAGACAUGACUGCUACCUGAAACGGAGACACUUUACGUAUUACGUUGCAUGGAUCUGUCGGUUAGGGUAAGUUAAAAAGAUCACUAGGAGUUUAUUUUGGGCUAGAUUAUUUAGGGGGGCUGCUAUGCGUCCGUCGAUAAAUGAAUUGAAAACAUCGAUCGCCUUGCCAUUGGAUUGAGUAGCAAUAGCCGCCGGAUCUCUCCAACAAGGUGUGUACCGAAGCGUUAUUUUCGCCUCAAAUAGGUACUUUGUGGUCUGCAACAAAGAUCUUGUUGCAAAAACAUUUGCAACAGAGGUGGUGUUGCAGAUUUUUUUUCAUCUUUACUUUUUUGCAACAUAGAUGAUGUUGCGGGAGAAAUUUUGCAACAAAGGUGAUGUUGUGGAUUUUUUUAAUUUCCGUCUUUACUUUUUUUGCAGCAUAUAUGAUGUUGAGGGAGGAAUUUUGAAACUGUGGUGUUGCAGAUUUUUUUUUGUUUACGUCUUACAUUUUUUGCAACAUACAUGGUGUUGCGGGAGGAAUUUUGCAACACUGCUGGUGUUGCAAAUCAUUUUUCAAUGAAAGAUGAAUCGGACAAGAUGAGAGGCCGAGGGAAGACGGACGGGAGCUCGCUAGAGGGCAAUAGGAAGGGAAGGGAGAGGAAGGAGGCUGCGGCGACGAGGGAGAGAGGCGGUCGGAGGGAGCUUCGGCGACAGGGAGCGGCAUCGGCUGGAGCGGAUCGGCGCGCGGCUACCUCCCCCUGGAUCUCAAGAGAGGAAAAAGGAAUCGGGAUGAGGGGGACGAGUGGCCGAGUUUGCUCGGGAGCAUAGAGCUGGAGAUAUAAGCACAAAGGAGAUAUGGUGGUGGCAGGCCCCAUAGGACACGCGUCACACGAGGCAUGCGGUGGAUGAGCGGCAAGCAUCCGCCGGUUGAAAAAAUAUUUUCCCAUUAUCCAUGUCUUUGUCAAAAUUUACCAUUUUUUCUUGAGAAUACUGAAAAAAAUACGAAAACACUAACGCCCACAUGUGUGGGCGUUUGCAUCUCGCCCAUACGCGUAGAUCCGCGUCCGUUUGUGAGCUCACGAAUCUUGGCAUGUUUCUAGUGCCACGUAGGACUGGGCUGGUGUGUGGGCAUUCGCCCGGUCGCCCACACGGCCGUUUCAGGACACGGAGGGGCCGAUGUGUGGGUGUUCAGCAGUUCGCCCAUACGCCACUUUCCACUAACACACAAGGGCUGGUGUAUGGGCAUUUGCCAUCUCGCCCACACUCCCGUCUUCUCUCCCACACCCAAACUGCUAGUUUCCAUGUGUUAUGCAGUGUACAUGGCAACUGCCCUAAUGUGCUUGUAAGCAGAUGGCAACUCUCUUUUUUCUUACCCGAACAUGUCAGUUGCCAUGUGUUUUGCAGGGUACACGACAACUGCCUAGUGUGCACGUAAACAGAUGGCAACUCUCUUUUACCCGAGUUGCCAUGUGUUUUUGCAUGGUACAUGGUAGCUGCCCUAGCGUGCACGUAAGAAGAUGGCAACUCUUCCUUUUACAUGGCAACUGCCCUAGCGUGCUUGUGAGCACAUGACAACUCUCUCAACUGCCUAUGUUAGUAGGUGGCAACUCCAAAUUUUUUGAAAUCAUGGCAACUGCAGUAGACCAGACCAUACAUGGCAACUGCAGUUGAGCAACCAUGGCAACUGUAAUUGUCCGACAUGGCAACCGUAGUUCAGCAACACGACAACUGCAGUUAAACGAACAUGGACGAGGGUCUGGACCAUGGCAAUUGCGGGCGCGCGAUGACUGUCACGCAGGGCGUGAGGGACCACGAGGUACGAGGCCUGACGCACGGGGCGUGUGGGUGUUAUCUAUUUCGCCCACACGCACGCGUGUGAGAGAGAUCGGGAGGAAAAAAAGAGGUAUGUGAGCAUUACUUGUUUUGCCCACAGUAGGUGUGUGGGCUGUUCCUUUUAUACACCACACAAAAUGUGUGGGCAGUCCCCCUAACGCCCACAUGUGUAAUACUUAUCGGCAUCCAAAAAAACUACUAUAUGUGAGGAAGAUGCGUAACUCAUUAUUAGCACUGGAGCUCAGGUUAGCGUGUUUUGACAGCAAUUCUGACCGGCGGGGGUCCGGGCAUCAGGGCUACGUUGGCAUUGCAUGCGUAGAGCACUCUGAGAUGGAUGUGGAGCCCACGGGUCAACUGGGUCCAUGCAACAUCUACUAGUAGUGUAUAUGAAUAAGACACUUUUGUUUUAUUUCUGUGUGUGCUUACAAAUGGACCCCAUUGGACACCGGCGGGUGGACGCUGAUGAGCUGUGCUCUUGGGCGUGGCGGAGCCGCCACCUGGAACUACACUAAGGCCUCAUUUGGCGCGAGUGGGUUGAGGGGGUUUCGAGAGGAUUUUCCUCGCGUGGGCCAGAAACCCCAGAGACCACGUUGGCCCAUUUGGUAUGGGGGUUUGUAUGGGCCAAUCCUCUCUAAUCCACGCGAACCCACACGACUCGAAACCCUCGUUGAGCGACUCAGGGAAUCGCUCGUCCUAUCGCAUGCCACCAGCGAGAGGAAGAGCCGCCGCCGCCGUCACCACCGAGGGGAAGAGCCCCGCCGCCGCCAUCGAGGGGAAGAGCCCCACCAGCGAGAGGAGGAGCCCCGACGCCACCCGCCGCCCCGACGCCGCCCGACGUCCCGUCGCUGCCCGACGCCGGCGUUACUCCUCCAGCAUACCGGCCUUCUCACCGGUGGUAAGUCAUAUCCGCCUCUCCCCUCCUUCCCCUCCUCUGCUCGCCUCCGUCCUAACCCUGUCCCCGGUGAUAAGUCAUCGACGCCGACGAGCUCGCUAAGAACGCUGUCUUCUUCUAGCCACUCAUCGACCCUAACCCUACCCAGCGAGAUUGUCGUGAUUUUCUGAUGGUGAUGGUGAUGGUCUGAUGGAUCUAGGAGGAUUGACAGUUUGUAGCAAUAUUGUAGAAUGAGAUGUUUAUUUCAUUUUAUUUGAAAUGGAUGAGUGCUCUACAUAUUUGUUAGGAGAGAAUCCAUGUUUCAAAUGUCCAUUGCCGGAGAUGUCAAGAUUUGUUAGUAGUUGAUGCAAAGGAGGAGGACUUGUUGGGUUGUGGUGAUGUCCCCGGCCUAAUUGAUGGAGAAGCAAUCCCUCAUCUCAAUGGUCGAUAGUCCUAUGAUAAAUCCCGGCUUAAUUUCUCAUCGGUCACAUAGAGCUUGAAAAAAUCACAUCCAUGCAUGUAUGAAAUCCCAAUAAUAGUUGCAAAAUAAAAUUGAAAGUUUGGGUUGAUGAUCUAUGAUAUUUAUUACUGAUUGAUAGAGCUGACAUGUGAUUUAGCAAGUAAUGAGGGUAGUUUAGUUUCAUUGUCUUUAAUAAUUUUUGGCUUGGCCAUCAGGGCACUGCAAUGCUAUGGGUUGAUAAAGAAAGAAGGGAAAUAAACGAGAAAGCAAGACAGAAUUGGCAGAAUCAGGACAAAUGACGUACCCUGUAAUGAAUUGAGAGUCUCUACUGGAAUAUUUCUUUAUUUAUUUUUGGUAAUCUUUUUUUGGGUCUCCAAUUUGUUCACUUGAUGUUGAUGGGUGUUUUCGUGGGAUCUCAUACUGUUUUUCUGCUGGACCGCAUACACCCUGAGACUCUUGUUUUGGACCUUCACGCUGUUCACUAGAUGAUUUUUGUAGAUUCUGCCGCCGAAGAUGAAGAGAGUGCUGAUGUGUUUCUUCGGAGCGAAAUGGCAGAGUUGCAUCAACGUAUCUAAGGUAACAAUCUUCUGCAUCCCCUUCUUCUUUGUGCUACCUGUCAAGAUUUAGAUGCUGCAAUUCUUCAGUCUAGAGCUGACUUAGAUGAUAGAACUGAUUUACUCAAUUGCUGGCUGGUGCAUAUAUUUCAUAGUAGAAAAUGUUGGUUGUGUUCAUGAGUGUCACUAUGUUCAUGUCAACAUAAUGACGAACAACAUCAACGCCAUGAUUUUGCCUUGCUCGAGAUAUGGUUUGUGACUAUAUAUGAUAGCAUAUCUUUGCAAUUAGUAUAAUCUAGCUAGCCAGUUGCGAGCACAAUAUUGUCAUUGUAUAUGUCAAGUUUGACAGUUGAUGCCUAUUUCUAGCUAGAAGUUGGUGAGGGAGUCCUGGAUUAAGGGGUCCUCGGCCGUCCGGCCUAUGUGACGUGGGCCAGACUGAUGGGCUAUGAAGAUACAAGAUAGAAGACUUCUUCCUAUGUUCGGAUGGGACUCUUCUUUGCGUGGAUGGCAAGCUUGGCGUUCGGAUAUGUAGAUUCCUUUCUCUAUAACCGACUUUAUACAACCCUAGUCCCCUCUGGUGUCUAUAUAAACCGAGGGCUUAGUCCGUAGAGGCAAUCAUAAUCAUACAGGCUAGACUUCUAGGGUUUUAGCCAUUACAAUCUCAUGGUAGAUCAACUCUUGUAAUACUCAUAUUCAUCAAGAUCAAUCAAGUAGGAAGUAGGGUAUUACCUCCAUAGAGAGGGCCCGAACUUGGGUAAACAUCGUGUCCCCCGCCUCCCGUUAUCAUCAUCCUUAGACAUACAGUUCGGAACCCCCUAUCCGAGAUCCGCCGGUUUUGACACCGACAUUGGUGCUUUCAUUGAGAGUUCCACUGCGUCGUCACCAAAAGGUUUGAUGGCUCCGUCAAUCAUCUACAACAAUGCAGUCCAGGGGGAGGUUUUCUUCCUAGGAUAGAUCUUCGUAUUCGGCGGCUUCGCACUACGGGCCAACUCGCUUGGCCAUCUAGAGCAGAUUGACAGCUACGCCCCUGGCUGAGGGAGUCCUGGAUAAGGGGGUAUCCGGACAGCCGGACUAUAUUCGUCGUCCGGACUAUAGAAGCGUCAAGAUAAAAGACUCAAGACUUUGGCUCGUGUCCGGAUGGGACUCUCCUUUGCGUGGAAGACAAGCUUGGCGAUCCGGAUAUUAUGUUUCCUUCCUUGUAACCGACUCCAUGUAAACCCUAACUCUCCGGUGUCUAUAUAAACCGGAGAGGAUGGUCCUUAGAAGGCCGAUCACAUUUACAAUCAUACCAUCAUAGGCUAGCUCUUAGGGUUUAGCCUCUACGAUCUCAUGGUAGAUCAACUCUUGUAUUCCACAUAUCUUCAAUAUUAAUCAAGCAGGAAGUAGGGUUUUACCUCUACCGAGAGGGCCCGAACCUGGGUAAACAUUGUGUCCCUUGCUUCCUGUUACCAUCAGCCUAAGACGCACAGAUCGGGACCCCCUACCCGAGAUCCGCCGGUUUUGACACUGACAUUGGUGCUUUCAUUGAGAGUUCCUCUGUGUCGUCGCUUUGAGGCUUGAUGGCACCCUCAAUCAUCAACAACGCAGUCCAGGGUGAGAUUUUUCUCCCUGGACAGAUCUUUGUGUUCGGCGGCUUCGCACUGCGGGCCAAUUCGCUUGGCUAGUUGGAGCAGAUCGAUAGCUUCGCCCCUGGCCGCCAGAUCAGGUUCGAAAACUUGAUCUACAUGGCAGACAUCCGUAGAGACUUGAUCUUCGGCGGAUUCGAGCCUGUGCCAGGAGCGCCGGACAGUCACGACGAGCACGGCCUAGACCUGCAAUCGGGCAAUACUCGGGACAUCAUCCCCGAAGCAGCCCUGGAUCCACAUCUAGGGCAGGUUGCGUUGCCCACGGACGGAGGGCUGGACCCUGCCCCGUGGGUUGCACACUCGUCGGCGGUGGAGCCAAACACAGGUCCCACCUCUGUGGAGGCCUGUUACCCUGGGCCCCCGGACUCAUAUCCGGCUGUUGGCCCCGGUCCGCCCGCUCUUGAGCCCGCCGAGCCAGGCUGGGCUUCGGUAAUGGAGUUUACAGUUGCAGACAUCUUUCAGCACCCGCCCUUUGGCAACAUGCUGAACUUAGUAAGGUCUCUCUCUUUGUCAGGAGACUCUGGGCUGAACUAUGUUUGGCCCGAGUGGGAAGCAGGCGACGAAGGAAUUGGAUGCCCACCCACCACCCACUUCAUUGCCAUGACCGAAGAUUUAACCGACGUGCAUGACUUCGGCUCCGAAGACAUCGACGGUAUGGACGACGAUGCAGGAGAAGCUCCAGAAUCCCCGGGGCGCGGGACUGCUACCUGGUCCCACGAUAUAUACAUGGUAGAUACGCCCAAUAAGGACGACAGCGAUAAACCGGAAGAUAAAACACCCGGGAAAAAGCCAAAAAGGCGGCGCAGACGCUGCUCAAAGUCCAGCAAUGGCAAAAAUAGCGACAAGAGCGCAAUAAGGGCUGAUAUACCCGCAAACUCCGAGAGAAAUAAUGACCACACGGACCCAGCGAUGGAGCAGGACGAGCCAGGUCACGCCAAAUCAAGUUCGGAGCAAAUACCUGAUCACAAUGAUCAGGGGGGACGAGCUCAUGAUGCCGCCCCAGAACAGGAAGACAGUCCGGACGACGAUGCAUUCAUCAUCCCGGACGAACAAGUGGAAUGAGACAACCUCCACAGAAAGCUUAUGGCCACCGCAAUAAGUCUUAAAAUGCAGAAGCAAUGGCUCAAAGCCGCACAGGAAAAGCUCAACCGAAGAUGGAAUACAGUGUUAGACACUGGAAAAAGAUAUGGCGAUGACCGCCAUACGAAAAGCUAUCCAAAGCGCAAGCUACUGCCAGAGUUCGACGACGUGGCUGUUCCACCACAAGAAAAUCCGACCAAGAAACCAGACAUACCGCUUCACAACCAUAACAGAGCGGCUGCGGACACUGCACACGAUCCAUGCGAACAUCCGGACAAGAAGGCCGGUGCAGCUAGGUCCAUAUAUGGAUCUAGAAGACCCACCCCAGCGAGGGACUUUGGUCACCCAAAUGCUCAUACAAGCUAGAUACCAAUUCGGAAUCAACCCCGAACACAACAACAACAGCCGACUACAUGCCACAAUGCGCCCAGAUACAGAGGAGCUGUUCACUCCCUGUGCUUCACCGAAGAGGUACUGGACCAUGAAUUCCCACAAGACUUUAAACCCGUGAACAUAGAAGCAUACGACGACACGACAGACCCAGGGGUCUGGAUAAAGGAUUCUAUCCUAUAUAUUCACAUGGCUCGUGGGGAUGACCUCCAUGCCAUCAAAUACCUUCCCCUCAAGUUGAAGGGACCAGCUCGACACUGGUUGAAAAGCCUUCCCGUAAACUCAAUUGGGAGUUGGGAGGAACUCGAAGAUGAUUUCAGGGCCAACUUCCAAGGGACUUAUGUCCGGCCUCCGGAUGCAGACGAUCUAAGUCACAUAAUCCAACAACCCGGAGAGUCCGCCCGCAAGCUUUGGAACAGAUUCCUCACUAAGAAGAAUCAAAUUGUCGACUGUCCGGAAGCCGAAGCCUUAGCGGCUUUCAAACACAGCAUCCGUGACGAAUGGCUCGCCCGACACCUCGGCCAAGAAAAGCCAAGGACAAUGGCAGCCUUAACAAGCCUUAUGACCCGCUUUUGUGCGGGUGAGGAUAGCUGGCUGGUCCGUAAAGGCACCAGCGACCUCAGCACAUCCGAAAUAAGGGAUGGCAACGGGAAGCCAUGGCGUAAUAAAAACAAACGCCAAAACAAGGAAGAGAGCCCGGACAACACGACGGUCAACGCCGGAUUCAGGGGCUCUCGACCUGAUCAGCAAAAGAAGCCAUUCAAAGGCGGUAAAGAUGGACCGUCCGGUCUGAACAAAGUUCUGGACAGACUAUGCCAAAUUCAUGGCACCCCGGAGAAACCUGCGAACCACACCCAUAGAGAGUGCUGGGUCUUCAAGCAGGCCGGCAAAUUAAACGCCGAACACAAGGGGAGGGACACACCAAGCGAAGACAAGGAUGAGCCUCACCAGCCGAACACUGGGGGACAGAAAAAAUUCCCGCCAGAGAUUAAAACAGUAAACAUGAUCCACGCGACUCACACAUCCACGAGAAGGCAUGAACGCUCGCUCAUAGAAGCGCAUGAUGUAGAGCCCGUCGUACCCACGUCUCACUACUGGAUGUCCCGUCCGAUCUAUUUUGAUCACAUGGACGGCCGAACUACAAUUCGGCAAGGAGGAUCACAGGCCUUGGUGCUUGACCCAAUAAUCGACGGAUACCGUCUCACCCAUGUCCUCAUGGACGGCAGCAGCGGUCUCAAUUUAAUAUACGAAGACACUGUCCGCAGAAUGGGGAUAGACCCAUCCAGAAUUAAACAAAGCAACACCACUUUUGAAGGGGUGAUACCGGGCGUUGCAGCCCGUGCCAGGGGCUUCGUCAUGCUGGAAGUAAUAUUCGACUCCCCAGGAAACUCCAGAAGCGAAGAGCUGCUCUUCACUGUCGCACCCUUCCGAAGCAGCUAUCACGCAUUGCUAGGAAGAACGGCCUUCGCCCGCUUCAACGCAUUGCCACAUUAUGGCCACCUUACAAUCAAGAUGCCCGGUCCCCGUGGCGUCAUCACCGUUAGCGGAAUCAUAGAGCACCCUUCACGCGCAGAGGAGAACAUGACGGCCCUGGCGGUCGGACUAUAAGUGGCCUCCAGUAUUAGAAAACAUGACCGGUCAUUACGACCACAGACACAGUUAGACGAGUCCGGUCGCCUAGAUAAAAUUCACACAUGGCACCGUAUAUGUAAUCCCAUAAUGGAAACCAGGGGCUGUAUAUAUUUAAUACAACCCCACGCUCUACUCAACCUUAUUGGCAGGCCAAUUGCUUACAUUUGUAUUACUAAUCGCAUACUUACGUUGCAACUUCCUACAAGUUUUUCUUUUUUACAGACAACGUUCGUGCGAUACCCUUCCAGGAUACGGCACAACGGAGACAAAGGCGCAGACGUGCAGCAGGGCCCCGUGCAACAUGUUUCUUUUUAGAUUAAGCCCAUGUGUAAACCUUUUCUACCGCCUCUUGUUGUUUAAACCAUCCCAUGGGUUCUAUACCCACAGAGGAUACUGCCGUUUUUGGCAUUCGGCCACGGUAGACUAAAUUGCACGUACCUAGGAAUAAAGGGCUUACAAUAGGCUCUUGUCAGCCUAUCUUCUUUUACAAAAGACCGAAUACCCUUGGGAGUAUUCGGUGUCACGAGUUUGGCCGUAUAUGCAUCAGCUCCGAAUCAUGUCUUUGGUCAAAUGUUGGGUUUUCCCGGCUCCUGGGUUUGCCGCCUUACGUUCCGCUAUCAUCCGGCUAAGGCAGGCCAAAGGAGAACUACUGCGAUUGUGCCCUGGUUAUUCCGAAUGAGCGCCUCAGUAGAGAAAGCCGAAAACUGACCGUCAUGAUACAGCAAGAGACUGUUCAAUCACUCGAAGACUCACCGGAAUCCCUAAAGAUUCCUCCGCAUUAACGAAGGGCCGUUUCCCGGCCAUGUACACACGCUCCCGUAUUCGGAUACACGCUAAGGUACCAGGGGCUACAUAGUAGCCCCACCAUUAUACUCCCAUGGCUAAGCGAAAGUGUUACAGCUAUAUAGUCCGGUUGCCUAGUUCGACGUGCGAUCACCUCCUUUAUGGACCAAGACGUUGGGUCAAGUGUGAUUAAGCACAUGUUUUCGCGAACACCCUCGCAUUACGUGCGUGGGGGCUGAAGCCAACGACUGUUAUCUUUCGGACUACUUAUACAUAUAAGAAACGGCCGCACAGGGGGGACAAUCAUACUUUUGGGCAAAAGUAUAAACAUAGCCUCAUAAUUAAACUAAACAUUGUUCUCUACAAUGAUUCAACCUAUCACUCGAAUGACACAUCCUUCGAGCACUGCGCCUCUAUUAGGCAGGCACCUUCCGUGACUUGCGCCAAGUAGUGCUCGGCCGGAUAUUAGCCUCCCGCCGGAUCCUGGGUCGCUAUUAUAGUGGCCUGCAUAUCCGUCCAAUAGGCUUUAACGCGGGCCAGUGCCAUCCGUGCACCUCUAUGCACACCGACCUCCUCAUGGCGUCAAUCCGAUACAUGGCUCCAAGGAACGGCUGCACCAAACCAAAAAUAGCUGUCCGGCUUAGGCCCCUUCGACCAAAGAUGGUCUAUUACAGACCGCAUUGCCAGCCCGGACAGCCUGUGGAGCUCCGCCAUAGCAGCCACCUUCUCAUUCAGCGGCAGCGGGCGAGUGGGUGCAUGCAACUGCUGAAGGAAAUAUGCCCUAGAGGCAAUAAUAAAGUUAUUAUUUAUUUCCUCAUAUCAUGAUAAAUGUUUAUUAUUCAUGCUAGAAUUGUAUUAACCGGAAACAUGAUACACGUGUGAAUACAUAGACAAACAUAUAGUCACUACUAUGCCUCUACUUGACUAGCUCAUUAAUCAAAGACGGUUAUGUUUCCUAACUAUAGACAUGUGUUGUCAUUUGAUUAAUGGGAUCACAUCAUUAGGAGAAUGAUGUGAUUGACAUGACCCAUUCCGUUAGCCUAGCACUUGAUCGUUUAGUAUGUUGCUAUUGCUUUCUUCAUGACUUAUACAAAGUUCCUGCAACUAUGAGAUUGUGCAACUCCCGUUUAUCGGAAGAACACUUUGUGUGCUACCAAACGUCACAAUGUAACUGGGUGAUUAUAAAGGUGCUCUACAGGUGUUUCCGAAGGUACAUGUUGGGUUGGCAUAAUUCGAGAUUAGGUUUUGUCACUCCGAUUGUCGGAGAGGUAUCUCUGGGCCCUCUCGGUAAUACUACUCACCUAAGCCUUGCAAGCAUUGUAAAUAAUGAGUUAGUUAUAAGAUGAUGUGUUACAGAACGAGUAAAGAGACUUGCCGGUAACGAGAUUGAACUAGGUAUUGGAUACCGACGAUCAAAUCUCGGGCAAGUAACAUACCGAUGACAAAGGGAACAACGUAUGUUGUUAUGCGGUUUGACCGAUAAAGAUCUUCGUAGAAUAUGUAGGAACCAAUAUGGGCAUCCAGGUUCCGCUAUUGGUUAUUGACCGAGAUUAGUUCUAGGUCAUGUCUACAUAGUUCUCGAACCCAUAGGGUCCACACGCUUAACGUUACGAUGACAGUUUUAUUAUGAGUUUUGAUGUACCGAAGUUUGUUCGGAGUCCCGGAUGUGAUCACGGACGUGACGAGGAGUCUCGAAAUGGUCGAGACAUAAAGAUUGAUAUAUUGGACGACUAUAUUCGGACAUCGGAAGUGUUCCGGGUGAUUUCGGAGAAAACCGGAGUGCCGGAGGGUUACCGGAACCCCUCCCGGAGAGUUAAUGGGCCACAUGGGCCUUGGUGAGAAGAGAGAGGGGCGGCCAGGAAGGGCCGCGCGCCCCCUCUCCCUCUGGUCCGAAUUGGACUAGGGGGGGGGGGGGGGGGCGGCGCCCCCCUCUUUCCUUCCCCUCCUCUCCCCCUUCCUUCCCCUCCUAGUAGGAGUAGGAAAGGAGGAGUCCUACUCCUACUAGGAGGAGGACUCCUCCUCCUGGCGCGCCCAACAAGGGCCGGCCGGCCUCCCCCCUCCCUCCUUUAUAUACGGGGGCAGGGGGCACUCCAUAGACACAAGUUGAUCUACGGAUCGUUCCUUAGCCGUGUGCGGUGCCCCCUUCCACCAUAUUCCACCUCGGUCAUAUUGUCGCGGAGUUUAGGCGAAGCCCUGCGCCGGUAGAACAUCAUCAUCGUCACCACGCCGUCGUGCUGACGGAACUCAUCCCCGAAGCUUUGCUGGAUCAGAGCCCGGGGAUCAUCAUCGAGCUGAACGUGUGCUGAACUCGGAGGUGCCGUACGUUCGGUGCUUGGAUCGGUCGGGUCGUGAAGACGUACGACUACAUCAACCGCGUUGUCAUAACGCUUCCGCUUACGGUCUACGAGGGUACGUGGACGAACACUCUCCCCUCUCAUUGCUAUGCAUCACCAUGAUCUUGCGUGUGCGUAGGAAUUUUUUUGAAAUUACUACGUUCCCCAACAGUGGCAUCCGAACCAGGUUUUAUGCGUUGAUGUUAUAUGCACGAGUAGAACACAAGUGAGUUGUGGGCGAUACAAGUCAUACUGCUUACCAGCAUGUCAUACUUUGGUUCGGUGGUAUUGUGAGAUGAAGCAGCCCGGACCGACAUUACGCGUACGCUUACGCGAGACUGGUUUCACCGUUACGAGCACUCGUGCUUAAAUGUGGCUGGCGGGUGUCUGUCUCUCUCAUUUUAGCUGAAUCGAGUGUGGCUACGCCCGGUCCUUGCAAAGGUUAAAACAGCACCAACUUGACAAACUAUUGUUGUGGUUUUUAUGCGUAGGUAAGAAAGGUUCUUGCUAAAAGCCCGUAGCAGCCACGUAAAAUUUGCAACAACAAAGUAGAGGACGUCUAACUUGUUUUUGCAUGGCAUGUUGUGAUGUGAUAUGGUCAAGACGUGAUGCUAUAUUUUAUUGUAUGAGAUGAUCAUGUUUUGUAACCGAAGUUAUCGGCAACUGGCAGGAGCCAUAUGGUUGUUGCUUUAUUGUAUGAAAUGCAAACGCCCUGUAAUUGCUUUACUUUAUCACUAAGCGGUAGCGAUAGUCGUAGAAGCAAUAGUUGGCGAGACGACAACGAUGCUAUGAUGGAGAUCAAGGUGUCGCGCCGGUGACGAUGGUGAUCAUGACGGUGCUUCGAAGAUGGAGAUCACAAGCACAAGAUGAUGAUGGCCAUAUCAUAUCACUUAUAUUGAUUGCAUGUGAUGUUUAUCCUUUAUGCAUCUUAUCUUGCUUUGAUUGACGGUAGCAUUUUAAGAUGAUCUCUCACUAAAAUUAUCAAGAAGUGUUCUCCCUGAGUAUGCACCGUUGCCAAAGUUCGUCGUGCCCAGACACCACGUGAUGAUCGGGUGUGAUAAGCUCUACGUCCAUCUACAAUGGGUGCAAGCCAGUUUUGCACACGCAGAAUACUCAGGUUAAACUUGACGAGCCUAGCAUAUGCAGAUAUGGCCUCGGAACACGGAGACCGAAAGGUCGAGCGUGAACCAUAUAGUAGAUAUGAUCAACAUAGUGAUGUUCACCAUUGAAAACUACUCCAUCUCACGUGAUGAUCGGUUAUGGUUUAGUUGAUUUGGAUCACACGAUCACUUAGAUGACUAGAGAGAUGUCUGUCUAAGUGGGAGUUCUUAAGUAAUAUGAUUAAUUGAACUUAAAUUUAUCAUGAACUUAGUACCUGAUAGUAUUAUUGCUUGUCUAUGUUUGUUUGUAGAUAGAUGGCUCGUGCUGUUGUUCCAUUGAAUUUUAAUGCGUUCCUUGAGAAAGCAAAGUUGAAAGAUGAUGGUAGCAAUUAUACAGACUGGGUCCGUAACCUGAGGAUUAUCCUCAUUGCUGCACAGAAAAGUUACAUCCUGGAAGCACCGCUGGGUGCCAGGCCUGCUGCUGAUGCAACUGACGACGUUAAGAACGUUUGGCAGAGCAAAGCUGAUGACUACUCUAUAGUUCAGUGUGCCAUGCUUUACGGCUUAGAAUCGAGUCUUCAACGACGUUUUGAACGUCAUGGAGCAUAUGAGAUGUUCCAGGAGUUGAAGUUAAUAUUUCAAGCAAAUGCCCGGAUUGAGAGAUAUGAAGUCUCCAAUAAGUUCUACAGCUGCAAGAUGGAGGAGAAUAGUUCUGUCAGUGAACAUAUACUCAAAAUGUCUGGGUAUAAUAAUCACUUGAUUCAACUGGGAGUUAAUCUUCUGGAUGAUAGCGUCAUUGACAGAAUUCUCCAAUCACUGCCACCAAGCUACAAGAGCUUUGUGAUGAACUAUAAUAUGCAAGGGAUGAACAAGACUAUUCCCGAGCUCUUCGCAAUGCUAAAAGCUGCGGAGGUAGAAAUCAAGAAGGAGCAUCAAGUGUUGAUGGUCAACAAGACCACUAGUUUCAAGAAAAAGGGCAAAGGGAAAAAGAAGGGGAACUUCAAGAAGAACAGCAAGCAAGUUGCUGCUCAAGAGAAGAAACCCAAGUCUGGACCUAAGCCUGAAACUGAGUGUUUCUACUGCAAGCAGACUAGUCACUGGAAGCGGAACUGCCCCAAGUAUUUGGCGGAUAAGAAGGAUGGCAAAGUGAACAAAGGUAUAUGUGAUAUACAUGUUAUUGAUGUGUAGCUAACUAGAGCUCGUAGUAGCACCUGGGUAUUUGAUACUGGUUCUGUUGCUAAUAUUUGCAACUCGAAACAGGGACUACGGAAUAAGCGAGCACUGGCCAAGGACGAGGUGACGAUGCGCGUGGGAAACGGUUCCAAAGUCGAUGUGAUCGCAGUCGGCACGCUACCUCUACAUCUACCUUCGGGAUUAGUUUUAGACCUGAAUAAUUGUUAUUUGGUGCCAGCGUUGAGCAUGAACAUUAUAUCUGGAUCUUGUUUGAUGCGAGACGGUUAUUCAUUUAAAUCAGAGAAUAAUGGUUGUUCUAUUUAUAUGAGUAAUAUCUUUUAUGGUCAUGCACCCUUGAAGAGUGGUCUAUUUUUAUUAAAUCUCGAUAGUAGUGAUACACAUAUUCAUAGUGUUGAAACCAAAAGAUGCAGAGUUAAUAAUGAUAGUGCAACUUAUUUGUGGCACUGCCGUUUGGGUCAUAUCGGUGUAAAGCGCAUGAAGAAACUCCAUACUGAUGGACUUUUGGAAUCACUUGAUUAUGAAUCACUUGGUACUUGCGAACCGUGCCUUAUGGGCAAGAUGACUAAAACGCCGUUCUCCGGAACUAUGGAGCGAGCAACUGAUUUGUUGGAAAUCAUACAUACUGAUGUUUGUGGCCCAAUCAAUGUUGAGGCUCGCGGCGGGUAUCGUUAUUUUCUCACCUUCACAGAUGAUUUGAGCAGAUAUGGGUAUAUCUACUUGAUGAAACACAAGUCUGAAACAUUUGAAAAGUUCAAAGAAUUUCAGAGUGAAGUAGAAAAUCAUCGUAACAAGAAAAUAAAGUUUCUACGAUCUGAUCGUGGAGGAGAGUAUUUGAGUUAUGAGUUUGGCCUACACUUGAAACAAUGUGGAAUAGUUUCGCAACUCACGCCACCUGGAACACCACAACGAAAUGGUGUGUCCGAACGUCGUAAUCGUACUUUACUUGAUAUGGUGCGAUCUAUGAUGUCUCUUACUGAUUUACCGCUAUCGUUUUGGGGUUAUGCUUUAGAGACGACCGCAUUCACGUUAAAUAGGGCACCAUCAAAAUCCGUUGAAACGACGCCUUAUGAACUGUGGUUUGGCAAGAAACCAAAGUUGUCGUUUCUUAAAGUUUGGGGCUGUGAUGCUUAUGUGAAAAACCUUCAACCAGAUAAGCUCGAACCUAAAUCGGAGAAAUGUGUCUUCAUAGGAUACCCAAAAGAGACUAUUGGGUACACCUUCUAUCACAGAUCUGAAGGCAAGACAUUCGUUGCUAAGAAUGGAUCCUUUCUAGAGAAGGAGUUUCUCUCGAAAGAAGUGAGUGGGAGGAAAGUAGAACUUGAUGAGAUAACUGUAUCUACUCCCUUACUGGAAAGUAGUUCAUCAAGAGAACCACUUCCUGUGACAACUACACCAAUUAGUGAGGAAGCUAAUGAUAAUGAUCAUGAAACUUCAGAUCAAGUUUCUACUGAACCUCGUAGGUCGACCAGAGUAAGAUCCGCACCAGAGUGGUACGGUAAUCCUAUUCUGGAAGUCAUGUUACUUGACCAUGAUGAACCUACGAACUAUGAGGAAGCGAUGAUGAACCCGGAUUCCGCAAAAUGGCUAGAAGGCAUGAAAUCUGAGAUGUGAUCCAUGUAUGAAAACAAAGUAUGGACUUUGGUUGACUUGCCCGAUGAUCGGCAAGCCAUUGAGAAUAAAUGGAUCUUUAAGAAGAAGACUGACGCUGAUGGUAAUAUAACUGUCUAUAAAGCUCGACUUGUUGCAAAAGGUUUUCGACAAGUUCAAGGGGUUGACUACGAUGAGACUUUCUCACCCGUAGCGAUGCUUAAGUCCGUCCGAAUCAUGUUAGCUAUUGCUGCAUUUCAUGAUUAUGAAAUUUGGCAAAUGGAUGUCAAGACUGCAUUCUUGAAUGGAUUUCUAGAAGAAGAGUUGUAUAUGAUGCAGCCGGAAGGUUUUGUUGAUCCAAAAGGUGCUGACAAAGUGUGCAAGCUCCAUCGUUCCAUUUAUGGACUGGUGCAAGCAUCUCGGAGUUGGAAUAAACGCUUUGAUAGUGUGAUCAAAGCAUAUGGUUUUAUACAGACUUUUGGAGAAGCCUGUAUUUACGAGAAAGUGAGUGGGAGCUCUGUAGCAUUUCUAAUUUUAUAUGUAGAUGACAUAUUAUUAAUUGGAAAUGAUAUAGAAUUUCUGGAUAGCAUAAAAGGAUACUUGAAUAAAAGUUUUUCAAUGAAAGACCUCGGUGAAGCUGCUUACAUAUUGGGCAUCAAGAUCUAUAGAGAUAGAUCAAGACGCUUAAUAGGACUUUCACAAAGCACAUACCUUGACAAAAUUUUGAAAAAGUUCAAAAUGGAUCAGGCAAAGAAAGGAUUCUUGCCUGUGCUACAAGGUGUGAAGUUGAGUCAAACUCAAUGCCCGACCACAGCAGAAGAUAGAGAGAAAAUGAAAAAUGUUCCCUAUGCUUCAGCCGUAGGCUCUAUCAUGUAUGCAAUGCUGUGUACCAGACCUGGCGUAUGCUUAGCAAUAAGCUUGGCAGGAAGGUACCAAAGUAAUCCAGGAGUGGAUCACUGGACAGCGGUCAAGAACAUCCUAAAAUACCUGAAAAGGACUAAGGAUAUGUUUCUCGUAUAUGGAGGUGACAAAGAGCUAGUCGUAAACGGUUAUGUCGAUGCAAGCUUUGACACUGAUCCGGACGAUUCUAAAUCGCAAACCGGAUACAUGUUUUUAUUAAACGGUGGAGCUGUAAGUUGGUGCAGUUCUAAACAACGCGUCGUAGCGGGAUCUACAUGUGAAGCGGAGUACAUAGCUGCUUCGGAAGCAGCAAAUGAAGGAGUCUGGAUGAAAGAGUUCAUUUCCGAUCUAGGUGUCAUACCUAGUGCAUCGGGACCAAUGAAGAUCUUCUGUGACAAUACAGGUGCAAUUGCCUUGGCAAAGGAAUCCAGAUUUCACAAGAGGACCAAGCACAUCAAGAGAUGCUUCAAUUCCAUUCGGGACCAAGUCCAAGUGGGAGACAUAGAGAUUUGCAAGAUACAUACGGAUCUGAAUGUUGCAGACCCGUUGACUAAGCCUCUCUCACGAGCAAAACAUGAUCAGCACCAAGACUCCAUGGGUGUUAGAAUCAUUACUAUGUAAUCUAGAUUAUUGACUCUAGUGCAAGUGGGAGACUGAAGGAAAUAUGCCCUAGAGGCAAUAAUAAAGUUAUUAUUUAUUUCCUCAUAUCAUGAUAAAUGUUUAUUAUUCAUGCUAGAAUUGUAUUAACCGGAAACAUGAUACACGUGUGAAUACAUAGACAAACAUAAAGUCACUAAUAUGCCUCUACUUGACUAGCUCAUUAAUCAAAGAUGGUUAUGUUUCCUAACUAUAGACAGGUGUUGUCAUUUGAUUAAUGGGAUCACAUCAUUAGGAGAAUGAUGUGAUUGACAUGACCCAUUCCGUUAGCCUAGCACUUGAUCGUUUAGUAUGUUGCUAUUGCUUUCUUCAUGACUUAUACAAAGUUCCUGCAACUAUGAGAUUGUGCAACUCCCGUUUACCGGAAGAACACUUUGUGUGCUACCAAACGUCACAACGUAACUGGGUGAUUAUAAAGGUGCUCUACAGGUGUUUCCGAAGGUACAUGUUGGGUUGGCAUAAUUCGAGAUUAGGUUUUGUCACUCCGAUUGUCGGAGAGGUAUCUCUGGGCCCUCUCGGUAAUACUCAUCACCUAAGCCUUGCAAGCAUUGUAACUAAUGAGUUAGUUAUAAGAUGAUGUGUUACAGAACGAGUAAAGAGACUUGCCGGUAACGAGAUUGAACUAGGUAUUGGAUACCGAUGAUCAAAUCUCGGGCAAGUAACAUACCGAUGACAAAGGGAACAACAUAUGUUGUUAUGCGGUUUGACCGAUAAAGAUCUUCGUAGAAUAUGUAGGAACCAAUAUGGGCAUCCAGGUUCCGCUAUUGGUUAUUGACCGAGAUUAGUUCUAGGUCAUGUCUACAUAGUUCUCGAAUCCGUAGGGUCCGCACGCUUAACGUUAUGAUGAUAGUUUUAUUAUGAGUUUUGAUGUACCGAAGUUUGUUCGGAGUCCCGGAUGUGAUCACGGACAUGACGAGGAGUCUCGAAAUGGUCGAUACAUAAAGAUUGAUAUAUUGGACGACUAUAUUCGGACACUGGAAGUGUUCCGGGUGAUUUCGGAGAAAACCGGAGUGCCGGAGGGUUACCGGAACCCCUCCCGGAGAGUUAAUGGGCCACAUGGGCCUUGGUGGGAAGAGAGAGGGGCGGCCAGGAAGGGCCGCGCGCCCCUCUCCCUCUGGUCCGAAUUGGACUAGGAGGGGGGGGGGGGCGGCGCCCCCCUCUUUCCUUCCCCUCCUCUCCCCCUUCCUUCCCCUCCUAGUAGGAGUAGGAAAGGAGGAGUCCUACUCCUACUAGGAGGAGGACUCCUCCUCCUGGCGCGCCCAACAAGGGCCGGACGGCCUCCCCCCUCCCUCCUUUAUAUACGGGGGCAGGGGGUACCCCAUAGACACAAGUUGAUCUACGGAUCGUUCCUUAGCCGUGUGCGGUGCCCCCUUCCACCAUAUUCCACCUCGGUCAUAUCGUCGCGGAGUUUAGGCGAAGCCCUGCGCCGGUAGAACAUCAUCAUCGUCACCACGCCGUCGUGCUGACAGAACUCAUCCCCGAAGCUUUGCUAGAUCAGAGCCCGGGGAUCGUCAUCGAGCUGAACGUGUGCUGAACUCGGAGGUGCCGUACGUUCGGUGCUUGGAUCGGUCGGAUCGUGAAGACGUACGACUACAUCAACCGCGUUGUCAUAACGCUUCGGCUUACGGUCUACGAGGGUACGUGGACGAACACUCUCCCCUCUCGCUGCUAUGCAUCACCAUGAUCUUGCGUGUGCGUAGGAAUUUUUUUGAAAUUACUACGUUCCCCAACAACUGCGACCAGAAAAGCUUCUCCACUUCUUCAUCGCCUUGACCCUCGAAGAACUUGACAACGUUAGCUGUACUAUUUGCCAAGUCCGCAUAUGUGUCUGCCGGACUCAAGCGCCCCGCCAGGGGAGCAUACUUGGGAUCCAAGAACUUCGUCCGCAGCAAGUAUGAGCCCCCAGCCACGAUCUUGUCGGCCUGUUGGAGCUCUUCCCGCAUACUGCGGAUCUCGGUCCGCAUCUCCUUAGCGGCAUUAAGUGCCUUGUCCAGCUCGGCCGAACUAGCCUUACUCUCCUUUUCGAGGAGUGCGUAUCGGUCGAUGGCAUUCUUUAACUCCCCAGCCAUUUCAGCUACCUUUUCUGUGCUUCGGCGAUGAGCAGCCUGUUCGGCUCUCAAUUCCUCGGCCGCCUUUAGGGCAGCCGCAUUGCUAGCCCGAGCUUGUUCCUUGGCUUGAGCAAGCUCCGCCCUCAGGGCCUCCACGGCAGCAGCACCAUCUGUAGUGCAACCACAUGGCAUUAAUACUCCGCCCUCUUACAUUUCCCUAUACAUCAUAAUAAGGGAAGCUGAGCACAUACCCUGUGACUCCUCCAGCCGCUUAUUCACCAGCGUGAUAUCGGCAUCAAUUGCUCUGAUCUGCCUCCUUAGCUCGGCAGCUUCAACAGACUGGUCGGCUGCCGAAUCCUUGUAUACCUACGCACAUGUACGGUGCAUCCAUUAUUAUAUGAUCCACCGUUUGCCGCCUACGGCGGGCAACCAGAGUCUUAGGGGCUACUAUCUAUAGGGAGCACACCUACCGCGUGCUUCAUAACCAAAAAGUUGUGCAUUUUUUACUACAUACCUCAAAGCCUUUGAGCAUGCUUGUAAAUGCCUCAUUCAAGCCGCUGGUAGCGGAUGCAAUCUUUGUGAGCACCGUGCUCAUUAAGGAGCAGUGCUCCUCCGAGAGCGCGACUCGCUCCAGACGACCCGUCAGUGCGUCCGGCCGGACACUAAACUGCGCCGGACCCUUCUCAUCGCCCCCCGUGGGAGCCAAACACUCCGGGCUCAAGGCGGCUGAUGUAUUAGCCUCCGGCUUCGGCAGAUCCGGACUCCUCCGUGACGACACCUCUGUGUCGCCCGCUUCGUGAAGCAGAGAGGUGGGUGGAGUCUCACUCUCCAUCAUCUCUAGACGAAGGUCCCCAGAAGACGAACUCUGUUGAGAAGAGCUGCUCGCCGAACUACAAAAGACAAAGUCCUGGUUAUGGAUCUUGGAGUAACACCACACUUUUGAAUUAAUGAAUAACUUACGGCUCGGUGGAGAGCUGGCCCCCUGGUGGGCAUGACGCGGUAAGGAUGCCCAUCGCGGCAAAGCCCUCGGGCGAUGUUUUCUUCCCUUGCUUGGGCGUCUCCGCCUCCAAAUCUUCGGAGGCGACCCUCUUCUUUCCGCAUGGGGAGGAGGCUUUGACCUCCCCUUUCCGGCUAUCCUCCAUAGGAGAGGUAGCGAUUUCCCCAGUCUGGAUGCAUAGCGUGUGAAGUUCGGCUUGACCGCCCUUUCCUUCGCCUUUCCCCGAAGGGAUUUUGCUGAGCGCCCGGCUCGACAUCUUUGCAAUAGUGGGACCAGGCGAGCCUUCAGGAAGUGGCACCGGACACCUGAUUCUCUCCGCCUUGUUAAGCCAUUCCUGGCCACGGUAGGAUUUUCAGAAUAAAGGUUAUGAUAAAUAUACACGAAGUGUCCAGCUUUGAAGUUACUUACUUGGGCAUCUAGGCGAUUGCAGCUUAGGCCCGCAUCCUCGGUGGUGUCCGGACACUUUACUUGAGAUCCGAAGAAUAAUUUACACAUCCCUUCGAGCUUCAGGCCGAAGAUGUGCUUAAUAGUCCGCGGACCCUCCGGAUUAAAUUCCCACAUCCGGAGAGGCCGACGUUUGCACGGCAACAUCCGCCGGAUUAGCGUCACUUGCAUUAUGUUGACAAGAUUUAUGUCCCUCUCAAUAAGCUCCCGGAUGCGAUUCUGCAGUUCUGGUACAUCGCCAGCAGGCCCAUAGUUCUGUCCCACAUCGGUCCAAGAUGCCAACUGUGACGGAGGGCUUGAGCGGAACUCGGGGGCAGCUGCCCACUUUGUGCCUCUGGGAGUAGUGACAUAGAACCAUCUCCGUUGCCAUACAUCGGAUACUUCCGGAAAAGAACCCUCUGGCCAUGGGGCAUCAGCGUUUCUGCUUAUUACAGCGCCUCCGCACUCCGCAUGUCGCCCCUCGAUCAUCUUCGGCUUCACAUUAAAGGUCUUCAUCCAUAAGCCGAAGUCUGGGUUGACGUGGAGGAAGGCCUCGCACACGAUAAUGAAGGACGAGAUGUGAAGGAUGGCAUUUGGAGCCAGAUCAUGGAAAUCCAACCUGUAGUAGAACAUGAGUCCCCUCACGAAGGGGUCGAGGGUGAGGCCUAGGCCUCGGAGGAAGUGAGGGAUAAACACGACGCUCUCGUUGGGCUCUGGCAUGGGGAUAACUUGCCCCGGAGUAGGUAGCCUGUGCUGGAUAUCGGCGGUCAGGUAUCCGACCUUCCUAAGCUUAGCAAUGUCCUCCUCUUGAAUCGAGGAGGCCACCCACCGGCCUGUUGUGUCGGAUCCGGACAUAUUGGAGGGUCUGGGGUGCUGGAGCUUGGGUUUUGAGUGCUGGAGCUCGAAAGGCAAGGAGGAGCAGGAGAGGUGGUGAAAGGCGUAGGCCUUGACCCCUUUAUAAAAGGGAUGAAUAUCAAGAGUCCUCAGCGUGACCGCUUGAGACUUAUCUAAAAUACACGGAAUCAUACCAACGGUCGCCGUGGGGUCACAUAUGCCCAUAUUGAUAAAAGAGCCCGUGUUAAGGGGGACAUGAUCUCUGCCUUGGCAGGACGUGCCAACAAAACUGCCUCGCGACGUGAGUCGAGGUGGAGCAGGAGACGCCGGUUCAUGUUGGACCAAGCCACGAUACAAGGGCACGACGUGCAAAGAUUGCCAACAGAAGGAACUUAUGCUAGGGUAUGUGAAGAUCAUCUUGCAGAGCCGGACACGGUCUAUGUGUUCGAUAAUCAUCUUGGAGUAUUCGGAGGAGGAACCCGCCUUGCAAUGCCGAAGACAAGACUACGCACCGGACUCAUUGUCGUUGAAGCCUGGUUCAGGGGCUACUGAGGGAGUCAUGGAUAAGGGGGUAUCCGGACAGCAGGACUAUAUUCGUCGUCCGGACUAUAGAAGCGUCAAGAUACAAGACUCAAGACUUUGGCUCGUGUCCGGAUGGGACUCUCCUUUGCGUGGAAGACAAGCUUGGUGAUCCGGAUAUUAUGUUCCUUCCUUGUAACUGACUCCAUGUAAACCCUAGCUCUCCGGCGUCUAUAUAAACCGGAGAUGAUGGUCCUUAGAAGGCCGAUCACAUUUACAAUCAUACCAUCAUAGGCUAGCUCUUAGGGUUUAGCCUCUACGAUCUCGUGGUAGAUCAACUCUUGUAUUCCACAUAUCUUCAAUAUUAAUCAAGCAGGAAGGAGGGUUUUACCUCCACCGAGAGGGCCCAAACCUAGGUAAACAUUGUGUCCCUUGCUUCCUGUUACCAUCAUCCUAAGACGCACAGAUCGGGACCCCCUACCCGAGAUCCGCCGGUUUUGACACCGACACUGGCCAUCAGGUAAGGGUUGGCUUGAUCUUCGACGGAUUCGAGCCCAUGGCAGCCGCUCCCUGCCACCACGAUGAACAUGACCUAAAUCUGUCAUCGGACCGUGCCCAGGAGAUAGCGCCUGUAACUGCUCUGACCCUAGAUCUGGAGCAGACUGCACCGUCCGAGGACGGGAAGCUCAACCCCGCCACGAAAGCCACAGACUCAGCGGCGUUAGAGCCGCACACAGAUCCAACCUCGAGCGGGGCCUGUGUCACCGGAACCUCGGAUUCGUCUUCGGCCAUAGGUUCCGAACCGCGUGCAUCCGUGCCCAUCGAACCUGAUCAGGUGCCGAUCGUUGAAUUCAGUUCCGCGGACAUCUUUCGGCACUCACCUUUGGGCGAUGUGCUAAACUCGUUAAAAGCCCUCUCCUUAUCAGGGGACUCUCGGUCGAACUAUAUCCGGUUUGGAUUGGAAGCUGAUGACGGAGAAUUCCGCUUCCCACCCCCACCCACUUCAUAGCCACCGUCGAAGACUUAACCAACAUGCUCGAUUACGGUUCUGAAGACAUCGACGGUAUGGACGACUAUGCCGGAGAGGAGCAGGCACAAAAACCACGCUUAUAGGAAGAUGGACAACCACCUCCUCGUAUGAUGUAUACAUGGUGGAUACACCCAAAGAGAACAACGGUGGCAAUGAAAAGGAUCCAAUCAUGGAUAAGCCUCCUGAGAUACAACCAAAGAACCGAUGUCAGCGGCGCCGCUCUAAACCACGUCGUGGAAAAAACAGCAAUACCGGCACGGGAGAAAAUAAUACUCCGGACGAUGCCGAAGACAAGGAAGAUCCCGUUGAACCAGCUUCCGAACAGGAUGAACGGGAGGAUGGGCGAGUCAACCCUAAUGAACAGACUAUUAACAAAGACUCGGAGGACAGUAAUUAUCUUCCACCCUCCGAGGAUGAGGCGAGCCUCAGCGACGAAGACUUUAUCGUGCCUGAGGAGCCCGUCGAUCAGGAGCGCUUUAAGCGCCGGCUAAUAGCCACUGCAAGGAGCCUGAAAAAGAAGCAACAACAGCUUCAAGCUGAUCAAGAUCUACUCAAUGACAGAUGGACUAAUGUCCUAGAAGCCGAGGAAUACGGCCUUGAGCGCCCAACCAAAAGUUACCCGAAACACAAAUUGUUACCCCAAUUUGAUGAUGAGGCGCUGGAGCUCGUCCUACCAGCGCAUAAUGCGGCUGACCGACCACCACGUGGCCGGGACAAAACGGCAACUCAAGCCGAACACUAUCCCGCACUACCUCACCGUAAAAACAGAGACACAACAGCUCGGGGAUACACAUAUGACCUGUGGCAUGACCUGGAAAAUAGAGCAGGUCAGACCAGAUCGAUCUAGGGAUUGCAGGGGUGUGCCCCGAUGCGCGACGAUGGCCAUCCGGCCAGACGUGACAAACAUAACCACGCCCGGGCCGAAAACCGCACACGAACUCCACCCGAGCUACGUCGCGACUUGGCCCGAUAUAGAGGCGCAGCACACCCCCUCUGCUUCAGUGAUGAAGUAAUGGAACAUGAAUUCCCGGAAGGGUUUAAACCCGUGAACAUCGAAUCAUAUGAUGGGACAACAGACCCCGCGGUAUGGAUUGAAGAUUUCCUCCUCCACAUUCAUAUGGCCCGCAGUGAUGACCUUCACGCCAUCAAAUACUGUAGGACCUUGAAGUAUGUCUAGAGGGGGGGUGAUUAGACUACUUGAUCAAUUAAAAACUUAACCUUUUCCCAAUUUUAGACUUUGGCAGAUUUUAGCUAUCUUUGGACAAGUCAAGCAAUCAUCACACAAUUCAAGCAAGCAUGCAAAGAGUAUAUAGGCAGCGGAAAUUGAAGCAUGCAACUUGCAAGAAAGUAAAGGGAAGGGUUUAGAGGAUUCAAACACAAUUGGAGACACGGAUGUUUUUGGCGUGGUUCCGAUAGGUGGUGCUAUCGUACAUCCACGUUAAUGGAGACUUCAACCCACGAAGGGUAACGGCUGCGCGAGUCCACGGAGGGCUCCACCCAAGAAGGGUCCACGAAGAAGCAACCUUGUCUAUCCCACCAUGGCCGUCGCCCACGAAGGACUUGCCUCAUUAGCGGUAGAUCUUCACGAAGUAGGCGAUCUCCUUGCCCUUACAAACUCCUUGGUUCAACUCCACAAUCUUGUCGGAGGCUCCCAAGUGACACCUAGCCAAUCUAGGAGACACCACUCUCCAAGAAGUAACAAAUGGCGCGUUGAUGAUGAACUCCUUGCUCUUGUGCUUCAAAUGAUAGUCUCCCCAACACUCAACUCUCUCUCAUAGGAUUCAGAUCUGGUGGAAAGAAGAUUUGAGUGGAAAGCAACUUGGGGAAGGCUAGAGAUCAAGAUUCAUAUGGUUGGAAUGGAAUAUCUUGGCCUCAACACAUGAGUAGGUGGUUCUCUCUCAGAACUGGUAAGUUGGAAGUGUAGGUUUGUUCUGAUGGCUCUCUUCACAAAUGAAGAGGAGGUAGAGGGGUAUAUAUAGCCUACACACAAAAUCUAACCGUUACACACAAUUUACCAAUCUUGGUGGGACCGAAUCAUCAAACUCGGUCGGACCGAUUAGUAAACAUAGUGACCGUUAGGAUUUUCGGUGGGACCGACAUGCAACUCAGUAGGACCGAUAUGGUUAGGGUUAGGGCAUAACAUAAUCUCGGUGAGACCGAUUACACAAACUCGGUUAGACCAAUUUUGGUAAUUAGCUAACCAGAGAGUUGGUCAGGUGAACUCGGUGGGACCGAUUCGCUCUUUUCGGUGAGACCAAAAUGUUACGAAAGGAAAACAGAGAGUUUACAUUGCAAUCUCGGUGGGACCGAUCGCUCACUUCGGUUAGACCGAAACGUUACGAAGGGAAACAGAGAGAUUACAAUCCCAUCUCGGUGAGACCGAGAUCCCUAUCGGUGAGACCGAUUUGCCUAGGGUUUGUGGCAGUGGCUAUGACAUCUGAACUCGGUGGCGCCGGAUAGAAAGAAUCGGUAUGACCGAUUUUGACUUUAGGUUUAGGUCAUAUGUGGAUGUGAGAAAGUAGUUGAGGGUAUUUGGAGCAUAUCACUAAGCACUUGAAGCAACAGCCUCAUUAAGCAACACCUCAUCCCUCCUUGAUAGUAUUGGCUUUUCCUAUAGACUCAAUGUGAUCUUGGAUCACUAAAAUGUAAAAUGAAGAGUUUUGAGCUUUUGAUCUUGAGCCAAUCCUUUGUCCUUGAUAUUUUGAGGGAUCCACUUUCAUCAUCCAUGCCAUGCCAUUCAUUGAGCUUUCCUGAAAUAAUAGUCUUGGAAUAGCAUUAGCUCAACGAGAUAUAUGUUGUUAUGAAUUACCAAAACCACCUAGGGAUAGUUGCACUUUCAAUCUCCCCCUUUUUGGUAACUGAUGACAACAUAUAGAUCAAAGCUUCGACAAAUGAUAAUAAGAUUGAAAAACAUCGUCGCUUUGAGAAGUAUGUGAUAAGCAAGAGCUCCCCCUAAAUUUGUGCAUAGUUUAAAAUUUGCUUUGGACUGCAAAUGCACAAGGAAUUAGGCUCAUGGGUUACCCUUCCAUGUCACAUACAUCUUGGUGGAGCGCUCAAAAUAAUAAAGAUUGAAUACAUGCGCUCAUCACCAAGCAAAGUGAAUGAUCAUAUAAGGAUAGGUAAGAUAAUAUCAUCAAACAUGCAUAAGUGUAGCUUAUGAUCAAACACAUGAUCAUCAAUGUCUCACAGAUAAUAGCAUAGUAUCUCAAGCAAUCAAAAGCAAACAAAGUUUAACCACCAAAACAAGAGAGAAUAAAAGCAACACUCUCUCUUGAAGCCUAUGAUCUAUACAUUUUUCUCCCCCUUUGGCAACAAGUUACCAAAAAGUUCAUAGAAAAUGCAUAGUGCUAGAUCGACUCCCAGGCUUGAUCUUCAGGUGGUGGUGUAGAGAUGGCUCCUUGGACGAAGACUUCAGUCAAUGUAGAGGGAGCUGGAGGAGUUGGUGCUGGAGCUGGUUGCCCUGGAGCUGUAGGAGCUGUAGCUGGUGCAGAUGAUGUGGCUCUAGUGUCUGUCACAGGCACUGCAGCUGACCUCUGAGCUCUAGGCACUCUGGCAAAUGCAUCAGUGGUUGUCUUGCCCUUCCUCUCCUGCAUGUCAUCCUGAAGCUGCUCCACAACUGACUGAAUCUCAGUUACCUUGACAUCAAGAUCAUAGAAUUUUUGUUCCAUGAUUCUUUCCAGGCUCUCCUGGUUUUGAGUUAGGGUGGCCAACCCCUUCUCAAUCCUCAGUGUUGAUGCUAUCAAGUAACCAAGCUGCUCCUGCUUGUUCUUCAAAAAGUACUCAGAUGCCUCCUCUUGAGUUGGCAUCUUGGCAGCCUUCUCUUUCCUUGCCUUCUCCUUCUUCUCUUGAGCUUGCACUGAUGAUGGUUCAUUGUCAUUCAUUACAACUUGAUUGUCCUCAAAGUCUGGAUAGAUAGCAAAAUGUUCCUUAUCCAACAGAUAUUUUCCUGUGCCCAUCUUUGAGUUAAUCAACUCCUGAAUCUGUGGGGCAUAUCCACAACUUCUCUUUUGAUAUGCUGCAGUCCUCUUGAUAGUUUCUACCAUAAGGCUCAUGACCUUGAAUUUCUGUGGCACAUCAAAUAUGUGUAGCAAGUUUAUUGCAUGCCCUCUGAUCAUGCUCUGGUCAUGGUCUUUUUGACACUUUCUUUCCUUUUCUUUCCUUCUGCAACUGGCUCUUUGGGAUCAGGCUUUUCAGGUACUUGUGUUGAUCCUCUGGCUUUGGACAUUGGUUGUCUACCUGCAGGCCUUUUGAUCUUCAUUCCUGGCUUUACUGCAGUUGAGCUGUGCAUCUUCUUGAGCUCUACUUUCUUGGAAGUAGCCUCAUCUUCUUCUGCUAUAUAAUCCUCAUCCUCAGAUUCUGAGGUCUUCUUCUUUCUUGCCCCCGUGGCAGCCUUAGGCAGAUUGCUUGGAGUGCUUCUGCUCCCUUCAUCUGAGCUGCUAGAGGGACUAGUGCCCUUACUCAUGUGAAUCUGCUCUUCUGACUUGUUCUGACUAUCACUUUGGUCUGACAUGCUGAAAAUCACUGACUGCUGACAUUGUGAAUAGUUAUAGAUGAGAUAGAAUGGAUGAGCAUCACAAAAUACAGAGAUUUUUGCAAAAGGAUGAUUCAAAAAUUCAGUUUUAGUUUUCCACAGAAAGUAUUUUGGAUCAACCGAUUUUCUAACUCGGUGAUACCGAAGCAGUUUUGGAACCUAAACUGGUGAACUCGGUAGGACCGAGUCACAGUUCGGUGGCACCGAGACUGCUAGGGUUUCACAAAGUUUUAAAAUCGGUCACACCGAUUAGCAAUUCUCGGUCAGACCAAGAGUUACUAGUGCAAUGGCGUUAGCCAAAUCGGUGGGACCGAGUUUUUCAACUCGGUGGGUCCGAGAUGAUUUCGGUGGAAACCUAACCCUAAAUUUCCAAAUCGCAUCUAUUCUAAGGAUUGUAUUGACUGGAUAGGAGUGUUUCAAUCGUUGCAAGAUGCAUAAUGAACACAACGUGCUAGGAAUCAGAUGAGGAUAGCACUGUGAUCGAGUCCAUACCCUAGCUUGGCGAUGAACUCGCUACAGCGGCAACUGUGGGGGUGAAUUCCGUUGACGGCGGCGGAGACCAGCGACAGGAGGCGGCUGGCGACGAAGUCGACGAUCCGUAGACCUAGUAGGCAGAGCGAGCUAUGCGCGGGCGAGGAGUUUCAGAGAAAGUUUUCCAAAAUUUGCCCGUGAGUAUACAUAGCCCGACACUGUCGGUGUGACCGAGUGGAACAACUCGGUGGCACAGAGAUGCAUAACUAUAUACAGUUACAACAACUCGGUGUGAACGAAAAGUUCAAAUCAGUUGCACCGAGAUUGAAAACCUAGAUCGACUUAGUGAUCUCGGUAGGACCGAAAUGGAUGAGUCGGUCAGACCGAGAAUCACAAAGAAGUUUUGGAAGGUUAAGUCUAUGACGAAUCGGGGACUCCGAGUGCUCCUCACACAGAGUGGUUCGAAUCUGACUUGAUCAAAUUUUGUGAUGUAGCAUGAAUAGAGUUUGAGACGAGAAAAUCAUAGAUAGCUAGAGAAUGUUCUUAGGCAUUCUUGUCCAUCCACUUGGCCAAAGAAAAAGAAGCCAAUCGAUCAAAACAACAAGUGGAUGUCCUUGAAUGAGAAAAAUAUGCAACCAACAUGCUCACACAAUAAAAUGGCAAAUGAAAUAUGUGGCAAAGCAUGCACAACCAAUUCUAGCAUCUAUCAAACAAUUGGCGAUGACUAGGUCAUCUAUAUAUGAGUAUAUUGACUUAGGAGUCAAAUGAGAACAUUUGAUCAUAUGUCAUACUCAUCUUUUAAGCUCAAGUGGGGUUACCACUUUUACAUAAUGCAUUGAUGUGUUCACAUCAUUAGAGUUGCUUUGACUCAAUUUUUAGAGUUAAGCUCCCCCUAGAUGUGAGAUCCCCUUUUAGAGGGAUAAACUAACCUUGGGUUUUGUCGAUGAUGACUUCAUGUAGGUGUUGAAGAUGUGGAUGCUCAAUGUUGUUGUAGAUCAUUUGGAGCAAUCCUUUGGAGUGAGUUGCACUUUCAACAUACCUACAUGGGUUAGUCCCACAAGGAACAAACAAGAAUAUCCAUAGACAUAGAGUGAUGCACACACAAGAUGAUGUCCAUGAAAUAAUUAGGUUACCUUGUCCCUUGCCUUACCAACAUGAGGGUUUGUGACUCCUUGAACUAGUGCAAGAUGUGGAAGAUGGUUGCACUUGUUAUUGCCAAAAUGAUAUGAGUGACGAAUGUUGGCGGAGUCACCCUCAAGAAGUCUCUAGUUCUUCUUCUUCUUCAGGAUCCACAUCAUCUUGAUGGGAAUCCUUGGAGUUGUAGUCGUACUUGAUGAAGUAGAACUUGACGUAGUCUUAGGAACCCACUUGACCAAGGCCUUAGGUGCUUCUUCAAAUGCAUCAAUCUCCUCUUGAAGCUUGUCCUUGCCUUUGUUCUUGUGGUCUUGUGGUGGAAGAUCAUCUUGUACUUGUGUUCCCUUGAAGGAAGUAGGAUCAUACUUCUCUUGUUGAGGAGCAAACUUCAUCUUGGGGUAUUGAUCUUCUUCCCACUCAACUCCAUUGGCAUUGAACUUUCGUUCAAAACCAACACCUUGAUUCUUCCGAUGCCUUCCUUGCUUGCGUAAAAUUUCCUCGAAUUGCUUACUCCCGGCAAGGCUCUUGUAUACACCUUUCUCUAUAAUUCCCUUCAAUAAGCUAUUUUCUUGCUCAAGUGUAACUUGGCUAAGAGAAUCAUUAGUGGAAUCAAGAGAACUACUAGAAGCAACAAUAUUGGAUUUGGCAUUAUUAUUGUUACUACUAGAGGAAGGAUCUUUCUUGUACUUGUUACUACAUUUGACUUGAGGCAUGUAAGUAGAUAAGACUAAACGCUUGGCAAUAUAAGAAGAACUUUUCUUGCGAAGAUCAUCAUUUAUUGCUUUUAAGAACUCAUGCUCUUGCUCAAGAUUGAGCUUCUCAAAGCGUAACUUCUCAUGAGCCCUUAAAAGUUCUCGAUGAUCUUCGAAGAUAGUUUCAUGAGCUAACUUAAGAGUGUUUAGUUCUUUAGUUAGAAGCCCAAUUUUCUCCUUAUCAUUGUCAUUCGUUUUAUCUUGAUUAGCAUGAUUAAUUGACGUUUCAUCAUAGUAUUCAUCACUAGAGUUGUCAACAAAAUAAAUCAUCAUCACCUAGCAAGUCAUCUUCAUCACUAUUGAAAUCAACAUACUCGGGAUGUGUUACCUUUGGACCUUUGGCCAUGAAGCAUCUUCCAAUUCCUUCAUUUGGUGAGUCAAAUAUGUCGUAGGAGUUGGUUGACACAAGUGCUAGACCGGCAACACCUUCAUCUUGAGUAUAUUCGGAGUCGGAGUGAUAGCUUCUCUCGGAGUGAUGGUCGGAGUCGGAGCCGGAUACCCAUUCACCAACAUGAGCUUGAUGUCUUAGUUUUGUGUAGCUCUUUGAUGACUUGUCCUUCCUUUCCGAAUCCUUGCUUCUCCGCGAUGGUCUUCGUUCAUAACGAUCAUCUCUACUCCUCCUCUCUCUUGGUGGUGAUUCUUCUCUUUUGCUUCUUCUUUUUGUAGAAUCUUCUCUUCUUUUGUAGGGUGCCGUACACUCAUUUGAAUAGUGUCCGGGUCUCCCACAAUUGUAGCAGUUUCACUCUCGACUAGAAGAUCUUUUGUCAUUGUAGGACCUUGACUUAGAGCUUCUUUCUCUGCUUCUACUCUUGUAGAAUUUGUUGAAGUUCUUCACCAUUAAGCUCAAUUCUUCAUUGAAGGUUUGUUUCUCACUUGAUGAUGUAGGAGCUUCACAUGAGGCUUUGUAAGCACCACUUGACUUGUUGUGAAGUUCCUCCUUAUCCUUGAGUGACAUCUCAUGAGCAACAAUUUUGCCAAUUACUUCCGUUGGCUGGAGAUUCUUGUAGUUGGGCAUCAUUUGAAUCAAUGUGCACAUGGUAUCAUAUUUCCCAUCCAAUGCUCUUAGGAUCUUCUUGAUGAUGAAUCUGUCGGUCAUCUCUUCACUCCCUAAGCCGACAAUCUCAUUUGUGAUAAGAGCAAGCCUAGAGUACAUUUCAGCAACACCUUCACCAUCCUUCAUUUUGAACUUGUCAAGCUGACUUUGGAGCACAUCCAACUUGGAUUCCUUAACGUAGUCGGUACCUUCAUGCAUAUCAAUCAAAGUAUCCCAAAUUUCCUUUGCAUUCUCAAGACGACUGAUUUUGUUGAAUUCUUCGGGGCACAAGCCAUUGAAGAGGAUAUCACAAGCUUGAGCAUUGUAUUGCAACAUCUUCAAUUCAUCCGGAUUAGCUUCACGGUUCGGCUCUCUCCCAUCAAAGAAUUCACCUUGCAAGCCAAUACAAAUAAUAGCCCACACGGCGGGGUUAUGUCCGAGAAUAUGCAUUUUCAUCUUAUGCUUCCAACUAGCAAAAUUAGUACCAUCAAAGUAAGGACCUCUACGGUGAUAAUUUCCCUCGCUAGAGGCCAUACUCUCCUAGGUUGUGAAACCAAGGCUAUGACCACCAAAAGCUAUGGAAAUCAAAGCAAAUGGAGACCAAGGCUCUGAUACCACUUGUAGGACCUUGAAGUAUGUCUAGAGGGGGGGUGAUUAGACUACUUGACCAAUUAAAAACUUAACCUUUUCCCAAUUUUAGACUUUGGCAGAUUUUAGCUAUCUUUGGAUAAGUCAAGCAAUCAUCACACAAUUCAAGCAAGCAUGCAAAGAGUAUAUAGGCAGCGGAAAUUGAAGCAUGCAACUUGCAAGAAAGUAAAGGGAAGGGUUUAGAGGAUUCAAACGCAAUUGGAGACACGGAUGUUUUUGGCGUGGUUCCGAUAGGUGGUGCUAUUGUACAUCCACGUUGACGGAGACUUCAACCAACAAAGGGUAACGGCUGCGCGAGUCCACGGAGGGCUCCACCCAAGAAGGGUCCACGAAGAAGCAACCUUGUCUAUCCCACCAUGGCCGUCGCCCACGAAGGACUUGCCUCACUAGCGGUAGAUCUUCACGAAGUAGGCGAUCUCCUUGCCCUUACAAACUCCUUGGUUCAACUCCACAAUCUUGUCGGAGGCUCCCAAAUGACACCUAGCCAAUCUAGGAGACACCACUCUCCAAGAAGUAACAAAUGGUGCGUUGAUGAUGAACUCCUUGCUCUUGUGCUUCAAAUGAUAGUCUCCCCAACACUCAACUCUCUCUCAUAGGAUUUGGAUCUAGUGGAAAUAAGAUUUGAGUGGAAAGCAACUUGGGGAAGGCUAGAGAUCAAGAUUCAUAUGGUUGGAAUGGAAUAUCUUGGCCUCAACACAUGAGUAGGUGGUUUUCUCUCAGAACUGAUAAGUUGGAAGUGUAGGUUUGUUCUGAUGGCUCUCUCCACGAAUGAAGAGGAGGUGGAGGGGUAUAUAUAGCCUCCACACAAAAUCUAACCGUUACACACAAUUUAUCAAUUUCGGUGGGACCAAAUCAUCAAACUCCGUCGGACCGAUUAGUAAACCUAGUGACCUUUAGGAUUUUCGGUGGGACCGACAUGCAACUCGGUAGGACCGAUAUGGUUAGGGUUAGGGCAUAACGUAAUCUCGGUGAGACCGAUUACACAAACUCGGUGAGACCGAUUUUCGUAAUUAGCUAACCAGAGAGUUGGUCAGGUGAACUCGGUGGGACCGACUCGCUCUUUUCGGUGAGACCGAAAUGUUACAGAAGGGAAACAGAGAGUUUACAUUGCAAUCUCGGUGGGACCGAUCGCUCACUUCGGUUAGACCGAAACAUUACGAAGGGAAACAGAGAGAUUACAAUCCCAUCUCGGUGAGACCGAGAUCCCUAUCGGUGAGACCGAUUUGCCUAGGGUUUGUGGCAGUGGCUAUGACAUCUGAACUCGGUGGCGCCGGAUAGAAAGAAUCGGUAUGACCGAUUUUGACUUUAGGUUUAGGUCAUAUGUCGAUGUGAGAAAGUAGUUGAGGGUAUUUGGAGCAUAUCGCUAAGCACUUGAAGCAAGAGCCUCAUUAAGCAACACCUCAUCCCUCCUUGAUAGUAUUGGCUUUUCCUAUAGACUCAAUGUGAUCUUGGAUCACUAAAAUGUAAAAUGAAGAGUCUUGAGCUUUUGAUCUUGAGUCAAUCCUUUGUCCUUGAUAUUUUGAGGGAUCCACUUUCAUCAUCCAUGCCAUGCCAUUCAUUGAGCUUUCCUGAAAUAAUAGUCUUGGAAUAGCAUUAGCUCAAUGAGCUAUAUGUUGUUAUGAAUUACCAAAACCACCUAGGGAUAGUUGCAAUUUCAAAUACCUCCCGCUAAAACUCAAGGGACCUGCUCGACACUGGUUGAACAGUUUGCCCGAAAACUCAAUUGGCAGUUGGGAAGACUUGGAAGACGCCUUCCUCAAAAACUUCUAGGGUACAUAUGUCCGACCUCCGGAUGCCGACGACUUAAGUCACAUAGUUCAACAGCUCGAAGAGUUAGCCAGGAAAUUCUGGACUAGGUUCUUAACUAAAAAGAACCAAAUCAUCGACUGUCCGGAUGCCGAAGCCCUAGCGGCCUUUAAACAUAGCAUCCGUGACGAAUGGCUCGCCCGACACCUCGGCCAAGAAAAGUCGAAGUCUAUGGCAGCCCUCACGACGCUUAUGACCCGCUUCUGCAUGGGCGAACCUGGCACUUCUGAAGCCAGAAAUAGCAAUGGCAAGCCCCGUCGCAACCGACACAAGCAUUGAAGCAACGAUGACAACACCGAGGACACGACGGUCAACGACGGAUUCAGUGGCUCUAAGUCUGGUCAGCGGAAGAAGCCAUAUAAAAGAACAAUCUAGGCUCGUCCAGCUUGGACCGCAUACUCGAUCGUCCAUGUCAAAUCCACGACACUCCUGAUAAACCAGCCAAUCAUAUCAACAAAGACUGUUGGGUUUUUAAACAGGCCGGCAAGUUAAAUGCCGAGAACAAGGAGAAGGGGUCACAAAGCAAGGACGAUGACGAGGAGCCCUAGCCACCGAACACAGGGGGNNNNNNNNNNNNNNNNNNNNNNNNNNNNNNNNNNNNNNNNNNNNNNNNNNNNNNNNNNNNNNNNNNNNNNNNNNNNNNNNNNNNNNNNNNNNNNNNNNNNNNNNNNNNNNNNNNNNNNNNNNNNNNNNNNNNNNNNNNNNNNNNNNNNNNNNNNNNNNNNNNNNNNNNNNNNNNNNNNNNNNNNNNNNNNNNNNNNNNNNNNNNNNNNNNACAUGAUAUACGCUACCCAUAUCCCCAAGAGGGAGCGCAAGCACGCGCUCAGGGACGUCUACACGAUGGAGCCAGUCGCCCCAAAGUUCAACCCAUGGUCGUCCUUCCCGAUCACCUUCGAUCGCAGGGACCAUCCGACCAGUAUCCGUCAUGGCUGUUUAGCCACACUGGUCCUCGACCCAAUCAUUGAUGGAUUCCAUCUUACGCGAGUCCUCAUGGACGGUGGUAGCAGUCUGAACCUGCUCUAUUAGGAUACAGUGUGCAAAAUGGGUAUUGACCCCUCAAGGAUCAAGCCCAAAAAACCACCUUUAAAGGUGUCAUACCAGGUGCAGAGGCCCGCUGUACGGGCUCAAUCACACUGGAGGUGGUCUUCAAAUCCCCGGACAACUUCCGAAGCGAAGAGUUGAUCUUCGAUAUCGUCCCCUUCCGUAGUGGAUAUCACGCACUGCUCGGACAAACUGCAUUCUCUUGAUUCAAUGCGGUGCUGCACUACGCUUAUCUCAAGCUCAAGAUGCCUGGACAGUUGUGUCAUAACAGUCAAUGGAAACACGGAACACUCCCUCCGUACCGUGGAGCACACCGCUGCCCUUGCAGUAGAAGCACAGAGCGGCCUUUUCAGGCAGAACCUUAAUUUGGCGGCCAAGCUCCUGGACACUGUCAAACGAGUCCAAACUACUCUGCUGCAGGACAGUCCAGCUCGUCAAGAGCUUGACUAGCAAUUCGGCUUGCGUCCCAGUCCCGACCAAACGGUGGCAUUCGUACUGCGCGCACAUAACUACAACAACAACAACAAAGCCUUUAGUCCCAAACAAGUUGGGGUAGGCUAGAGGUGAAACCCAUAAGAUCUCGCAACCAACUCAUGGCUCUGGCACAUGGAUAGCAAGCUUCCACGCACCCCUGUCCAUAGCUAGCUCUUUGUCGAUACUCCAAUCCUUCAGGUCUCUCUUAACGGACUCCUCCCAUGUCAAAAUCGGUCGACCCCGCCCUCUCUUGACAUUCUCCGCAUGCUUUAGCCAUCCGCUGUGCACUGGAGCUUCUGGAGGCCUGCGCUGAAUAUGCCCAAACCAUCUCAAACGAUGUUGGACAAGCUUCUCCUCAAUUGGUGCUACCCCAACUCUAUCUCGUAUAUCAUCAUUCCUGACUCGAUCCUUCCUCGUGUGGCCACACAUCCAUCUCAACAUACGCAUCUCCGCCACACCUAACUGUUGAACAUGUCGCCUUUUAGUCGGCCAACACUCCGCGCCAUACAACAUUGCGGGUCGAACCGCCGUCCUGUAGAACUUGCCUUUUAGCUUUUGUGGCACUCUCUUGUCACAGAGAAUGCUAGAAGCUUGGCGCCACUUCAUCCAUCCGGCUUUGAUUCGAUGGUUCACAUCUUCAUCAAUACCCCCAUUCUCCUACAACAUUGACCCCAAAUACCGAAAGGUGUCCUUCUGAGGUACCACCUGGCCAUCAAGGCUAACCUCCUCCUCCUCACAGCUAGUAGUACUGAAACCGCACAUCAUGUACUCGGUUUUAGUUCUACUAAGCCUAAACCCUUUCGAUUCCAAGGUUUGUCUCCAUAACUCUAACUUCCUAUUUACCCCCGUCCGACUAUCGUCAACUAGCACCACAUCAUCCGCAAAGAGUAUACACCAUGGAACGCACUCAAAAUACCAUGGGCACAGACGGAGGCACAACUAGACCGUGGUCCAUAAUACGGCUCAACCUCCCCUGGACCCACAUACUUUCACUUUUUUUUCCAGGUUUCUUUUUUCCCAGGCCUUUCCUGGUGGCCAGAUUAUCGGACCUAUCAAGGGACGGAUACACCAAGAUAGCAAGAAGCACUGACGUAUAAGGGAAUUUCCAGGUGGUCUCUUUAAACGAUCGUUAUGCCUGUUUUAAGGACCCGCACGCAGCCUCCCUUGGUCAUGGCAUGUUAAAUAUCACUGUUGCUUAUCGCACUACUUGUACACGCUUUGACGUAUUAAUCAAACUACAAUGGAAAAUAGUUUGCGGCCCUAAUUCUGCGGCAUUAGCCUAUUACUUCAUUUUUCUUGAUAUUCUUAUCAAUUGCACCCAUACACUCUGGUACGCCUUAACUCUCCAGGGGCUUCAUUACGCUCCAUAAUACGGCAACAAAGUCAGAACAAUUUUUACUGUAUAGUUCGACAUCCUAAACUUUAGCAUUAUAUGCAUCGACUCCGAAUCAUGUCUUUGGUCAAUAGUUCGGUUGCCCGGCUCCUGUGCUUACUACCUUAUGUUCCGCUAUAUCGGCUAGGGUAGUAAAGGGAGAACUACUACGAUUGUGUCCUGGUUUAUCCGGAUGAGCACCCCAGUAGAGAAAGCCGAAAACUGACUGUUAUGAUGCGGCGUGAGCCGGUCAGCUGUUCGAGAGGUUACAAAUCUUUUGUGAUUUUUCCCGCAUUAUGCGAUGAAUCGGUUUUUAUCCGAUCAGGUGUUUAUAGCACCCCAAGUUCGGACUUACGAAUACUAGGGGUUGUGCCUAAAAUUUCUAUUGUCAAGCUCCUAUGGCUAAGUGAGGGUGAUAAAGCCACAUAGUCCGAUUGCCUGGUUCGUUGCGCUAAACACCUCCUUUAAGGACCAAAACUUUGGGAUAAAGAGUGUUUAGAUUCAUCCGAACACCCCCGUACUGCCUACAUGGGGGCUGAAGCCAACGACUGGCCACCUCUUAGAUUUAACAAAACGGCCGGACAGGAGGUAAAUUUUUAAAUAACAUGCAUUAUAUUACAUAACGGCUCUGUUUCAUAAUACAGGAAAGGACAAUAUGAAUGACUUCAUUCAAAGAUAAUGUAUUUUGAACACUGCCCCGCCACAAUGUGGGAUCCCUCCAGGACAUUGUCAAAAUACAGCUCGGGCGUGCGGUGCUCCUUGCCAGCGGGCGGUCCUUCCGUUGCGAGCUUGACGGCAUCCAUCUUCACCCACUAAACUUUAACAUGGGUGAAGGCCAUCCGCUCGCCUUCGAUGCAGACCGACCGCUUGAUGGCAUCCAGCUGGGGCAGGCAUUGACCAGCCGCUUCAUGAGCCCGAAGUAGCUGCUGGGUAUGGCUUCGGCAGGCCAUAGCUGGAUUAUUAAAUCCUUCAUGGCUAGUUCAACCACCCUAUACAGUUCAACCAACUGUUUUAGCUGAUCGCUAAAGGGCACCGGAGGUUCUGGCGCAAGGUAUUGCGACCAAAACAGCUUCUCCGUGGAGCUCCCCUCUUCGGCUCGGAAGAACCCUGCAGUGUCUAAAACGCUAUGCGGCAGAUCCGCAAACGCCCCUCGAGAACUCCAAAUAUGGGUGAGUAAGAGGAACCUUUUCUUCACGUAUUUACUCUGCAUAAUAAAGGCCUUACCCGCCGCGAUUUUUCUGGCCUACUGGAUUUCUUGGAGGGCGCCCUGGGCUUCAACCCGGGCAUCAUGUGCGCUUUGGCGGGCCUUGGCAAGUUCGGACUCUUGAUCCGCAAUGUUGCGCUCCAAGGACUCACAUUUCUUCACGGCGUCCUGGAGCUCCUGCUGGACCUCACCGACCUUGGCCUCAUGCUUUUCAUGGGAGGCUUGUUCCUUGGCCGCUCUCUCCUCGGCCUCGGCCAGCGCCUUCUUGAGGGUGUCCACCUCAGUCGCCUCCCCUAAUAAAUAUCAUGGCACUUUAGUCAGCACAAAUCAUUCAUCCUUCCUGAAUAUAGACAAGGUUAUGGCAUACCUUGAUUGUCUUCCAGGUGUUUCUUCACACGGCCGAGCUAUUCCUCGGUCCGCUCCAUACUCUACUUCAGUCUGGAGACCUCAGCAGCAUGAGAGGUCGCAGCCAGCAACGACGCCUGCUUAUUCACAUAGACAUGUCAGGUUAGUCUCCUGCGAAAAUUAUUUGAUCCUUUGUUCGGCUUUUUUUUCGAACAUCGGACAGAGUCUCAGGGGCUACUGUCUAUACUAUCACAUCCUUUUUAUAAUUGUGUCGCUCACCUCAAAACCUGUUAGAAGGCUGGUAUAGGCGUCGGUCAGUCUGCUCUUAACGAACUGCACCCUCUCAAUCACCGUACCCAUAAGGAUACGGUGUUCCUCAACAAUGGAAGCGCCUUGCAGCGCUUCCAGCAAAUUAUCCGGUGCCUCUGGAUGGACAGAGGUCACCGGUGGAAUAGGCGCACCUCCUUCUUUCGAAAGAGGUUGCUUGCCUGAUUCCGGAGCCGUAUAGGUCUCCGAAAUUGUAUUCGGCUGGGGGCCGAAUUGGAUAUGGCUCCCAUUGUCAGUGUCCAUGGGGAUUUGCUCCCCCAUGUGUCCGGCGGCCGAGGUUUCACCCUCUGGCGCUGCUUUGACGACCUCCCGCGUCUCUCCCUGGCCCGGGGUCCUUCGGGACAACACCUCGGUAUCAUCCAUGGACUUGGGAGAGGAUGCCACCGGAAGGGACCCGUUGUCCAUCACCUUCGGGUCCAGCGAAUUCCCCAUUGAUGAGGAUCGCUGGUGGACCGAAUGGGCCGGGCUGCAGCACAUGAUUUGACAUAUUAAAACCAUGAAGGAAAAGGGCCGGAUAUAUGAGUGCAUCUUUGAGUACUUACGAUUCGGCUAGGGGCUUAUCCUUGGGGCGCCAUUCCGAGCUGCUGUCGGAGUCCGCUGUGGAGUUGUUCGGGAGGGAAGCCUUCCCCUUUUUCGACGCUUUGGCCUCCAAACGUGUGGAGGCCGUCCUUUUCUUCCUUCCCUCCUCAGGGGGGAUGACUUUCUUCUUCUUCCUCCUCUUCCUUGUCGUCCUCGGCGACGGAGGAAUGAGUCUUGGUGUCUCCGGACGUCACGUCCGAAGUGCCCUUAUGACGGAGGCCACCUCUAGUCUCCUUGGCCUUCUUCUUGGCCUUCUUCUCCGGUGACUGAUAGGGAGCCGAAACCAGCAUCUUCGUCAGAAGUGGAAUUGCUGGGUCUUCAGGCAGCGGAGCCGGACAGUGAAUCCGCUCCGCCUUCUUUGUCCAGCCCUGAGAGAAUCAGUAGGGAGGCUUAGGCGUCUUCCUCGAGUAUGCAAGUAAAGGAUACACCUUGAAAACAUGAAAAAACUUACCGGGUUAGCGGGAUGGGCCAAAUCGUGCCCACGGUCCUCGGCCAUACCCGGCCACGUCUUGUUGGACUUGAAAAGCACCUUCCAGAUGUCUUCGUGCAUAGUGCCGAAGAAGUGAAGCAAUGUCUGGUGCUUGGCCGGAUCGUACUCCAACAAAUGGCAAGUCUGGCUUUGGCACGGAAGGAUCUGACGAACAAGCAUCACUUGGAUCACAUUGACAAGCUUGAUAUUCUUGUCUAUCAUGCUCCUGAUGCGCGUCUGAAGCGCCGUCAGCUCGUCCGACAAAGACCAGUCCAUGCCCUUCUCUAGCCAGCAAGUGGUGUCGCGCGGCUCUGUGACGUAGAACCACUGCUUUUGCCACCCUUUGACGGUCUCCAUGAAGGUGCCUAUUGGCCAUGUGGCGCUGGGCAUCUUGCUCACCAUGGCGCCUUCACACUCCAUGUGUUGACUGCCCACGACCUUCGGCUUCACAUUGAAGAUCUUUAACCAUAAUCCGAAGUGGGGUGGGAUGCGGAGGAAGGCCUCGCACAUGACAAUGAAUGCCGAGAUGUUGAGGAAGGAGUUGGGGGCCAGAUCAUGGAAAUCCAGCCCAUAGUAGAACAUGAGUCCGCGGACGAACGGGUGGAGAGGAAAUCCCAACCCGCGGAUGAAGUGGGGGGGGGGAUGAAUACUACCCUCUCAUGGGAUCCGGGGUGGGGACAAUCUGUCCCUUGGUCGGAAGCCGGUGGGCGAUUUCCUUGGCCAAAUACCUAGCUUCCCAAAGAUUGGUAAUGUCCUUCUCCUUAACAGAGGAGGCUAUCCACUUGCCCUGUGCUCCAGAUCCGUACAUGGUUGGAGUGCUCUCUUGGGGCGGAAAAGAUGAGAACUUGGGCGCUGGAGCUCGAGAAUGGGGGAGGCAGAGAGAGAGAAGGCGUGGGUGAAGGGGGUGAAUCCUUAUCUCUUUAUAAAGGCAGUGAAUAUCAAGCGCCUCCCCACUCGCCCUAAAAGCUUGCCUACUCCCAAGGGCCAUGCAGACGAUACAGUGGGAUUACCCAUGCCCGUAUUAAUGAGAAUCCCGCAAUAAGGGGACAUGAUCUCUGCUUUGACAAGACAUGCCAAUGAAACCGCAUCUCAAAAUAUGGAGCGGCAGGUGAUGAAGCUAUGUACCUAGGGUAGGGUCAUGGACCAGUCCAAACUACCCUACCCAAGGACAUCUCUAGAAUAAAUCACCUGUCAAUCGACUCAGAAGUGUUCCACUCGACAGACUCGAAGACACUCGACCAUGAAUCCAACCACUCGACCAUGAAGCCAUCCACUCGACAGUGAGGAGACCUAAAGUCACUCUGCACGCCAACGGUCGGUCAUUAAGUAGCUUUUAUGGUCAUCAAAGCGCUUUAUGUGUAGCGUUACCAGUAACGCCCAAUCUUAAUGUAACUUAAACCCUGCAUAACUGAGGGUCGGAGGGGUCUGGCGGACUCUAUAUAAGCCACCCCCUCCUCAGUGUAAAGGGUUCGCACCCCUGUAACUCAUACGCAUAUAAUCCAGUCGACCGCCUCUGGGCUCUAAGACGUAGGGCUGUUACUUCCUCCGAGAAGGGCAUGAACUCGUAAACCUCUUGCGUAUACAACUACUCCAUAGCUAGGAUCUUGCCUCUCCAUACCUACCCUCUUUCUAUUGUCAGACUUAGAACCACGACAGUUGGCGCCCACCUUGGGGCAGGUGUCUUAGCGACUUAUUGGAGAAGUUGCAAUUUUUUCUGAUCUCCUUCAUCAUGGUUUCAGGUGGAGUUUUGGUUGAGGGCCGUGAGAUCCGUCUCGGCGCGCUCACGUUCGCCGCCGACGACUCUGUUUGGUUGCAGGAGGCUCCGCUCGACAUCGAUGCGCUCCCAGUCUGUGGAGCAACGCACUUUCGUGCGUGCGUCUGCGGCGUCCUCUUGCAGCAACUGUCGACCCAGUAUCGGUCGGUCGUUGUGUCGUCCUCCGUCCCUGCUUCCCGCCGGCGCAAGUGCUCCGGUCGGUCGAGGCUUCAGUGGUGGGUGAGAAACGCGGUGGCUCGCCAGUCGGCCACCCCCCAAGUCGCGGCAAUCGAGCUCGACGAAUCUCUCUACGGCCUGUUCGACUGGCUCCGCAGAGACUGCAUCCGAGUGUGACAACAAUGAUCCAGCAGUGGAAGUUCUGAUGGUCGAUGGACCACGCGGUCCUCCCGGUUUUCCCGGCACCGAAGGAGGUGACGGCGGAGGCGAUCCGUCGCAUGCCCAUGAAGAGUAUCGCCCCGGGCCACUCACUUCGCUGCAGAGCGAAGAUCUUCGCCGCCGGAACAUGGAUGCGCUACACACUCCUAUUGUUGGAGAAACCCCCGAGGCUCGGGCCUUAGAGGAUGCGCGCUUGGCUAACUUAGCUGAGCGCACUCGACUGGAGAACCUUUAGCGAGCACUCGACGAGCGUGCGCGGGAAUGGGUUCCGGCAUCCAGUCGACGUAAACUCUUCCCAGCAUCGACUCAGGUAUAUCGAACUCCGAUCCAGAAUUUAGCAACUGCAGCCCGUAUAGCAGAGUCGAUUCAGCCUUCCCAAUCAGAGGCUGGCAGAGGCUUGUUGCAGAUCAGAGAUUUACUCCGGGCAGCAGGGGAUCAAAACUCAGCUGCAUCGCAGUCGCGGAAUAGGAUCCACAGCAGAUCCAUCGCUGCGAAUACAGUCUAGUCGGCCCAUUGUCCAAGAUCGCCCCCGAGGCGUGAGGAACAUGGAGACUGGCAUGAUCAGUACAAGAACCAUGAGCAGUAUGAUCACCGAAUGGAUCGCGAUGAUCGACGUCGAGUGCCCACCCCUCCCCCAAGGGGUGGAUCGUAUGCGCCUCGACAGCAGGAUGAUAGAUGCCAGCACAGUGUUGGGCGAAGGAUUCCAGUCGACCCCAGGGAACCCGGCUUUGAUGCGAGAUCCAUUAUCGUUCAAGGUAUGGUCGAUAGGAACAGAGCUCACCGAGAGGGUCACGACAGAGAUAUACCCACCAGCAGCAGAGUGCACGUCUCAGGACCAGUGUGUUUCAGCAGAGCCAUCAGGGCCGCAGUGAUUCCUCCGAAAUUCAGGUUGGCGACUGGAGUCAGUAUGUUCACUGGUGAGUCCAAGCCUGAUACUUGGCUUGAAGACUACCGAGUGGCUGUUCAGAUUGGCGGCGGCAAUGAUGAGGUGGCCAUGAAACAUCUGCCUGUUAUGUUGGGGGGCUCGGCCAGAGCAUGGUUGAAUCAGUUGGCACCCAGCAGCAUUUACACGUGGGAAGAUCUUUUCCGAGUGUUUGUCAGAACGUUUGAAGGAACAUGCAAGCGACCAGCAGGACUGACAGAGCUGCAAACUUGUGUGCAGAAGUCGAAUGAGACUUUGAGAGAUUACAUCCAGAGAUGGAUCACAUUGCAUCACACGGUAGAGAAUGUAUCUGAUCACCAGGCAGUCUGUGCCUUCAAGGAAGGUGUUAGGUACAGAGAGUUAAACUUGAAAUUCCGUCGAACCGGAGACAUGACUCUGAGUCGAAUGAUGGAGACUGCCACCAAGUAUGCCAAUGGUGAAGAAGAGGAUCGGCUCCGGAGUGGGAAGCACAAGUCAGUCACCCACGAAACCGGAGGAGGGAACUCCAGUCGGAAGCAAAAGCGGAAAGCCGAGCCAGCUGCUCCCGGAGAAGCCCUGGCCGUGAAUCAAGGAAAGUUUAAAGGGAAGCCUAAAGGGCCUUGGAACCCCAAGAAGGUAAAUGACAAGGAAGGAAAUGACGUGAUGGAUUUGCCGUGCCACAUCCACACGAAGAAAGAUGAAGAGGGUAACUUCAUUUACCCGAAACAUACCACUCGACAGUGUCGGCUCUUGAUCCAGCAAUUCCAAGGGAAACAGCUCAAAGAUAAGGAAAAGGAGUCGGACAAAGUUGAGGACAAGGAGGACAGUGAUGAGGAAUAUCCCUAUGUCAAUUCCACUCUGGUGAUUUUUGCUGACGUUUAGAGCAAAAGUCGAUUGAAAGUUAUCAACCAAGAAGUGAAUAUGGUGGCUCCGGAGACACCCAAUUAUCUAAAAUGGUCUCAGACUGCCAUCAUGUUCGACCAGUCUGAUCACCCGAUACACAUAGCCACCCCUGGGAGGCAAGCUCUGGUGGUUGACCCAGUCGUCGAAGGCACUCGACUGAAGAAAGUGUUGAUGGAUGGUGGCAGUAGCUUGAAUAUACUGUACGCAGAGACACUGAAAGGGAUGGGCAUUCCGAUGUCCAGACUCAGUACCAGCAACAUGAGUUUCUAUGGAGUCAUUCCUGGCAAGAAGGCUGCGUCACUCAGCCAGAUUGCUCUUGAUGUGGUUUUCGGUGAUUCCAAAAAUUUCCGCAAAGAAAAGUUGACAUUUGAAGUUGUGGAUUUCCAAAGCGCCUAUCACGCUAUUUUGGGCAGGCCAGCUUAUGCACGUUUUAUGGCUCGACCAUGUUACAUGUACCUCAAAUUGAAGAUGCCUGGCCCCAAAGGUGUGAUCACUGUUACUGGCAAUCGGAAGAAGGCAGAAGAGUGCUUUUAGAAAGGCUCAAAGAUCACCGAUGCUCAGAUGGUAGCAGAAGAGUGGCAGGAACACCAGAAAAAUGCAGACCCGAGUGAUUUGUUGCGAGCUAAGAAGCCUGCUACGGAAUCAGCGUUUCAGUCGUCCGGUCAGACAAAACCGGUUCACAUUCACCCGAAUGACCCCAAUGCUGCUCCGACUAAUAUCUCCACAACGCUCGACUCCAAAUAGGAAGAAGCGCUCAUCUAGUUCCUCCAUGAGAACUAGGACAUCUUCGCAUGGAAACCUUCUAACAUGUCGGGUGUUCCCAGGGGGCUGGCUGAGCACCAUCUACGAGUCGACUCAAAAGCGAAACCUGUUAAAGAACAUCUGCGACGGUCCGCCAUCCAGAAAAGGAAGGCCAUUGGCGAGGAGGUGGCUCGGCUCUUAGCGGCAGAGUUUAUCUGAGAAAUUUACCACUCUGAGUGGCUCGCCAAUGUUGUCAUGGUCCCAAAGAAGGACAAGUCUCUUCGCAUGUGCAUUGACUUUAAACAUAUCAAUCGGGCCCGCCCGAAAGAUCAUUUCCCUCUCCCCCGCAUCGACCAAAUAGUCGACUCGACUGCGGGAUGUGAGCGACUAUCUUUCUUAGACGCCUAUUCCGGGUACCAUCAGAUCCGUCUGUAUGGACCUGAUGAGAUCAAAACAACUUUCAUCACCCCAUUCGGGUGCUUCUGUUACGUCACCAUGCCAUUCGGCCUCAAGAAUGCCGGAGCCACGUUCAUGAGGAUGAUUCAGAAGUGUUGGCUCACUCAAAUCAGUCGUAUUGUGGAAGCGUACAUGGAUGAUAUUGUGGUCAAGUCAUGGAAAGGUUUCGACCUGCUGAUUGACCUUGCUGAAACAUUUGCCAACCUCAGGAGGUAUGAUAUCAAGCUUAAUCCAUCAAAGUGCACAUUCGGAGUUCCUGGCGGAAAAUUACUUGGUUUCUCGUUUCCGAACGAGGAAUCGAUGCAAAUCCAGAGAAAGUAGGCACUAUAAUCCGAAUGAAACAACCUGUGCGUGUGCACGAUGUUCAGAAGCUUACUGGUUGCUUGGUUGCUUUAAGUCGAUUCAUCUCUCGUCUCGGUGAAAAGGCAUUGCCUCUUUACCGACUGAUGAAGAAGUCAGACAAGUUCGAGUGGACUCCUGAAGCUGAUGCAGCGUUUGUAGAGCUAAAAGCCCUGCUUUCCACCCAGCCGGUGCUUGCUGCCCCGAUCAGCAAAGAGCCUUUGCUGCUUUACAUUGCAGCCACAUGACAAGUCGUUAGUACAGUACUUACGGUCAUGCGGGAAGAAGAAGGAAAAGCCUUUAAAGUUCAGCACCCAGUAUAUUAUAUUUCUGAAGUUCUGACCCCAUCAAAGCAAAGAUACCCUCAUUAUCAGAAGUUUGUAUAUGGGAUUUAUAUGACCACGAAGAAAGUUGCUCAUUACUUCUCUGACCAUACUAUUACAGUCGUCAACGACGCCCCAUUGUCAGAGAUUUUGCAUAACAGAGAUGCAACUGGUCGAGUGGCAAAAUGGGCGAUUGAACUCCUUCCCCUGGAUAUCAGAUUUGAGGCAAAGAAAGCUAUCAAGUCCCAGGCAAUAGCAGAUUUCAUCGCUGAGUGGACUGAACAGCAACUGCCGACUCAAGUUCACUCGGAGCACUGGACCAUGUUCUUUGACGGCUCUAAGAUGCUGAAUGGUUCCGGUGCUGGGGUAGUGUUGGUUUCCCCCCGAGGAGAUAAGCUCAGAUAUGUACUCCAGAUUCACUUUGAUUCCUCCAACAAUGAAGCAGAAUAUGAAGCACUUCUGUAUGGGUUGCGUAUGGCCAUUUCACUCGGCGUCCGUAGCCUCAUGGUCUACGGCGACUCAGAUUUGGUGGUUAACCAAGUGAUGAAGGAGUGGGACGCCAGAAGCCCCACCAUGACUGGUUACUGCAAUGCAGUAAGAAAGCUAGAGAAGAAAUUCGAGGGGUUAGAGCUUCAUCAUAUACCCCGACUGAAAAAUCAAGCAGCUGAUGAUUUGGCAAAAAUAGGUUCCAAGAGAGAAGCCAUUCCUAGUGGUGUGUUUUUGGAACAUAUCCACACACUGUCAGUUCAAGAGGAUCCUUUUACCGAAGAAGCCCCGCAGCCAAAAAGUGCCACGGAUCCGACUGAAGUCGAGGUCCCAGCCGUGGUCGACUUAAUCAUGGAAGUCUUGGUCAUCACUCCCGACUGGACAGUGCCGUACAUCGCGUAUAUCCUAAGGAAAGAGAUCCCAGAGAACAAAGAAGAGGCUCGACAGAUCGUCCGUCGAUCCAAGGCCUUUACUGUGAUGAAGGGACAGUUGUACAGAGAAAGCGCGACUGGAGCCAGUCAGAAAUGUAUAACGCUAGAAGAAGGUCGGAUAAUUCUUAACGAUAUCCACUUUGGGUCCUGUGGCCACCAUGCAUCCUCUCGGACCAAUGUGGCUAAAGCAUACCGAGCGGGAUUUUACUGGCCCAGAGCAAAUGAAAUGGCGAAAGAGAUAGUCGACAAGUGUGAAGGAUGUCAGUUCUAUUCCAAUAUGUCACACAAGCCCGCCUCAGCUUUGAAGACCAUUCCAAUCGUCUGGCCCUUCGCUGUCUAGGGACUAGAUAUGGUUGGGCCACUGAGAACUGGCAGGAGCGGCUUCACCCAUGUACUGGUGGCAGUCGACAAGUUCACUAAGUGGAUCGAAGCCAAGCCUAUCAAGAAUCUUGAUGCCGGCACCUCUAUCAGCUUCAUCAGAGAGUUAAUAUUCAGAUAUGGAGUUCCACAUAGCAUCAUCACUGAUAAUGUGUAAAACUUCGAUUCCGACCAAUUCAAAGCCUUUUGCGCUUCUCAAGGCAUACGAGUCGACUACGCUUCCGUCGCUCACCCCCAGUCGAAUGGACAAGCAGAAAUUUCUAACGGCCUAAUUCUCAAAGGACUAAAACCCCGUUUGAUGCGUGAUCUCAAACACGCAACAGGCGCGUGGGUCGACGAAAUUCCAUCAGUUCUUUGGGGAUUGAGGACUACUCCUAAUCGGUCGACUGGAUGAACUCCGUUCUUUCUGGUCUAUGGAGCCGAAGCAGUUCUGCCGAGUGAUCUACUUCACAAUGCACCUCGAGUUGAGCUCUACUCUGAAGUUGAAGCAGAACAAGCCUGGCAUGACGCAGUCGACCUUUUAGAAGAAGAAAGAGAGAUGGCCAUGAUCCGAUCGACCAUCUAUCAGCAAGAUUUGCGUCGAUUCCAUGCCAGAAACGUGAAGUGUCGGGCCUUCCAAGAAGGAGACUUGGUCCUCCGAGUGGAUCAACAAAAGCCACACAAACUUGCCCCUACUUGGGAAGGUCCCUUCAUUGUCACCAAAGUUCUCCACAAUGGAGCAUACUGUCUUUACAAUGUCGAUCGCCAGAUUGAUGAGCCUCGAGCUUGGAAUGCAGACCUGCUCCGCUCGUUCUCACUCGGAUGAGAUGUAAUAAAAGUACUCCUGUAGUUUGUUUGUCAAAGACAAAAGUGUUAUAAUUUUCCCAUUGAUUGUUGUUGCUUUUGUUUAUAUGAGAAAUCCCCCAGUGGGUGUCUUAGUUGCGAAUCCGUUUCGCUUAAGUUUGUAAAUUUUUUUCCUACCGAGUGACGAGCAACCCUCUGACUCGGAGACUUAGCUGCGAAUCCGUUUCGCCUAAGUAUUUGAAAAUCCUACCGAGUGGCAAGUCCGCGUGCCACUCGGGGGCUUAGCUGCGAAUCCGUUUCGCCUAAGUGUUUGAAAUCCUACUGAGUGGAGAGCGAACCUCCCACUCGGGGGCUUAGCUGCAGUCCAGUACUCGCCUAAGUGUUUGAAAUCUUACCGAGUGGAGAGUGAACCUCCCACUCGGGGGCUUAGUUGCAGUCCAGUACUCGCCUAAGUGUUUGAAAUCCUACCGAGUGGCGAGUCCGCCUCCCACUCGGAGGCUUAGCUGCGAAUCCGUUUCGCCUAAGUGUUUGAAAUCCUACCGAGUGGAGAGCAAACCUCCCACUCGGGGGCUUAGCUGCAGUCCAGUACUCGCCUAAGUGUUUGAAAUCCUACCAAGUGGUGAGUCUGCCUCUCACUCGAGGGCUUAGCUGCAGUCCAGUACUCGCCUAAGUGUUUGAAAUCCUACCGAGUGGAGAGCAAACCUCCCACUCGGAGGCUUAGAAGCAGUCCAAUACUCGCCUAAGUAAUUGAAAUCCUACCGAGUGGAGAGCGAACCUACCACUCGGAGGCUUAGCUGCAGUCCAGUACUCGCCUAAGUGAAUGAAAAUCCUACCGAGUGGAGAGCAAUCCUCCCACUCGGAGGCUUAGCUGCGAUCCGGUACUCGCGUAAGUAUGAAAGUCAUUCCAACCCGCAAGGACGACGAGGUGCAGGUCGACUGCUACCUUCUGCUUUGGAGCUACGACACAAAUACAAUGUGCGCUUUGCAAGGACGCGAGGUGCAGGUCGACUGCUACCUUCUCCUUCGGAGCUACAACACAAAUACAAUGUGCACUCUGCAAGGACGACGAGGUGCAGGUCGACUGCUACCUUCUCCUUUGGAGCUCCACCACAAAUACAGUGUGCGCUCCAUCCUGGCCUGCAAGGAUGCAGGUCGACUGCAAUCUGUGCUCCAACCUGCAAGAGUACGUCACAAGCACUAAAAUAUAUUCCGAGUGAAGAGCAAUGUUCGCUUGAAGGCAAAUGCAAACAUAUUCAACAGCAAAGCCAAGUUCAGAUAGCAUCCUACGGAUCCAGAAGUGCUCAGGCAUCAAGCCUGUUAAAGUUUAUCGGUUACAAAACCACUUGGCAUUCCGAGGCAAAUUUAAGGCAUCAAGCAUAGAAGUUUUUUACUCCUCGGGUGGAGGACUGGAAGGCGCGACAAACUGGUCCAGGUCGAUUCCAUCUGCAAUCCGAGUGGCAGCAGCAAUGAAGGUCUCCACGAAAGAUUGGAAGUCAUGCUUCUUGGUAUUGGCCACCUUGAGGGACGCCAGCUUUUCCUCUCACGCAUCCUUGCAGUGAACACGGACCAGAGACAGAGCAACAUCAGCACCACACCUGGCAGAAGACUUCUUCCAUUCUUGCACUCGACCUGGAACUUCAUUCAGUUGACUCAUCAGAGACUCAAGGUCAUUCUGAAGCGUCUCCCUCGGCCAGAGUGUUGUGUCGAUUCGCGACGUCGCAACCUUCAGUCGAGCCAGAUAGUCCACCACACCAGCAACACGAGACUCCAGUCGGAGGACGUUCAUGGCAGUUUCAUCCUUCACAGGAGAGUUGAUGGGAUCCAGGCCUGUCUCCACUCGACUAGUCUCUUCCUCAAAGUUUUGGCAGAAUUCUGUAAACACAACCCAAAGAUAAGCCAAUAGUUCUAUGAUAAGUCAGUGAUUACAAGUCAGUCGGGCAGGAGAGAUUACCCUCAAGCAUGAUGAAUAACUUCUUGGCGAGCCCUCCCAGAUAAGCCUCCAGAUCGUUCUUCUUCCCCACCAGUUCACUAGCCUUGUCACUCAGAGCUAUCUUGUCAUUCUUCAGACGGCUGACUUCCUUGUUGGCCGCAUCGAGAGCAGCUUUCAGAUUGGCGUUCUCUUCUUCAAGUUUGCCGACCAAAGCCAGCUUCUCUUCCGCAAGCUUCGUUUUGUCCAAAGCCGCCUUCUGUGCCGCGGCAAGUUCCUUAUCCUUCUUCUUCAGAGCCUCAUUCGUUUUAUCUGCAAAAUGACAAUGAGAUCAGAAUCAAGAAUGGGCACAGGGAUAAAGACAGUCAUCAAGUUCUCACCAAUCAUACCUUUUGCCCCAUCCUUCGCCUUCUGAAAGUUCUCCUGAACAAGCUUCAAGUCAAGGUCGAGCUGGAUAUGUUUCUUUUCCAACUCAGUAUAACGAGCCACAAGCUCGCAAGAUUUCUGCAAAGAGUCAGUCGACAGACAUCAAAGAGAGGUUGCUUCCGAGUGACAAAGAGAAAAACCGUAACAUUUCUAAGACUAUAGUCGAAUCAAAAUAUUCAAUGGUAGUCUCGGGGACUACACCCAGUGGGUGCACUCAGCGUGCCCCCACUAGCUCUAUCGACUUGAUCCGAUCAGUCGACCGAAAGGAACAAAGAGAUUAUGGUCUCAUCAUGAUCUAUAGAAAAAACAGAGAGAGUUCUUCAUACUACAGUCGACUGCCAACAGUCCACUAUAGUCUCGGGGACUACACCCAGUGGGUGCACUCAGUGUGCCCCCAUCGGUUCUAAGAUUCCACUCGACAUGGUCCGACCAGACCGAGUGAAGAAGUUAGAGUGCAGAAAUUUCAAAUACGAAGACUACAGUCGACUUCCCGCAGUCCACCAUAGUCUUGGGGACUACACCUAGUGGGUGCAAUCAGCGUGCCCCCACCAAUCGAAAAAUUCAAUCGACACACCCAGUGGGUGUACAGAUACAAAGAUCUUCGGAAAGAAAGUCUUCAGAUAGCAUAUCCUAACAGAACAUGCGGUGACCAACUAACCUGGACAUUGCUCUGAAGGGCUGAGCUCGCAUCAUAAGCCGCUUGGCUAGCUUCCCGGAUCGCCUUCACCUGCUCCAUCAUAAUCCCCGCCUGGCGUAUAGCCUCCUUAGCAGCACCCGCUUGGUCCUCUGGGACGUGGUGUGUGGCGAAAAGGAAGGGCGGAUCAGUAGUCGACGACGAAGGCCGGGCACUCGUCAGCAGCACAACGAAGGUCACAGAAUGCCGAGUGACAUCGCCACCUUCUUGAACCAGUACCUCAGGCACUAAUGCAGUCCGAGUGGCCUUGCCAGCCGGCGCCUUUCUAUUCUUCCUCGCCCUCAAUGGCAUCGCGUCGUCAUCAUCAGGGAGAUCAAUGACAUGAUGAGGAGCUGCAAGAUAAAUCCAAAGUCAGAAAGAAAAAACCAAUCGACCAAAAGUGAAAAUGCAAGAGAGCGUACCAGGGUUGGAGGUGGCAGUGUCUUCCAUUUCCUGGUCGUCGUUCUUGGUGGAGGUCUCGGAGGUAGCAGCACUGCAGAUUUCAGAAAUCAGUCGGUUAGUCGAUGAGUCGACCAGAAGUUCGUCCGAGCUAAAUAAGAAAACACAAGUUCUGCUGUUACCCGGAGAUAGUGGGAAUGGCCAUUAUCAUCUUGGGCAAGGCCUUCGGUGGCUUUGACGGCUUCGACUGCUUCGGCGCUUUCUCAGUCGGCGCUGGAGAAGCCGCCCGAGGGCGCUUGGACGACUGCGCAACAGGCACGACCGCUUUGCCACGCUCACCCACGGGGUCGUGGGCAAGCUUGGAUCGCCUUUCUGUGCGAGGAGGAUCGACUUCCAUUUCCUCCUCCUCCUCGCUGGAGCCAUCUUCAAUCUCUUCCCCCUCGCCGUUAGAUUGCCACUCCUCCUCCUCACUUUCACCUCCACUUGCCUCUCCCUCCUCGGCUUGUUCUUGCGCCUCGUUGGGCGUCGAAUACAUCUCAGUCGUGGCCUAGAAGACAACAAACAAGACAAAAAGUCAGUCAAUUGAUUUUAAGCAGACAGAAUGGAGAAAGCAGAAUCACAGUCGAGAAUGCAGAAUCGAACCUUAUCUACUUCGUAUGAUUGGUCGAGUGGGACAACCCUCCUGGCCCCUCAGGGGUUGUCUUUAUUCCCUGUGAUGCUCGCCAUCCACCGCUCCAGCGUGGCCUCAUCGAUCUCCUCCGGAUGGAUCCGAGUGGUGUCCUCAGUGCCAGAAUACAACCACAUUGGAUGAUCUCAAGCUUGGAGCGGCUGGAUGCGUCAUCGGAGGAAGACCUCCAAGAGGUCCAUGCCAGUCACCCCGUCACGGAUGAGCUGCACGACACGCUCGACCAGCACCUUAACCUGCGCCUUCUCUUCCGGGGCCACCUUCAAAGAGGAAGGCUUCCUCACUCGUUCCAUGGAAAAAGGAGGGAGCCCAGUCGACUGCCCUGGCGUCGGCUGGUCUUUGCAGUAGAACCAGGUCGACUGCCAUCCACGGACCGAGUCGGGUAAGAUCAUGGUCGGAAAGGAGCUUUUUCCUCUCAGCUGAACCCCAAGACCCCCACACAUCUGAAUCACUUGAGUUCUCUCGUCACUCGGGUUGGCCUUCUUCACCGUCUGGGAGCGACAGGUGAAGAUGUGCUUGAAAAGACCCCAAUGAGGCCGGCAACCCAAGAAAUUCUCGCACAAGGACACGAAAGCAGCAAGGUACACGAUGGUGUUGGGUGUGAAGUGGUGGAGUUGCGCCCCAAAGAAAUACAGAAAUCCCCGAAAGAAAGGGUGAGGCGGCAAAGAAAACCCACGGUCGACGUGGGUGGCCAAGAGAACACACUCACCCUCCUGAGGCUGCAGCUCUGACUCCCUCCCCGGGAGCCGUGCCGAUCCAUGGGGGAUCAGUCCUCCGUCGGCCAAGUCGUCAAGAUCCGCUUGACUAAUCGUCGAGCGGAUCCAGUCGCCCUCGAUCCAGCCUGGCGGCAGGCCGGUCCUCGAUGAUGAUCCGCUCCGACUGGUUCCCCUUCCCUUCGCCUUCGCCGUCGCUUUCUUCGCCCGCUCCAGGGCCGCCGUCUUCUCUUUCACCAUCGUUGCUGACGAGGUGUGCACGGAGCAGCGACGCGGAGGCGGAAGCAAACGUGGCGGAGAAGUCUGGAGAAGAGAGGGGAGAAUGAGAAUGCACUGUUCAAAACCCCCUGUCCGGUGCUUUAUAUAAGGUUGCUUCCGAGUGACUGACAUGUAGGCCCGGGCUAUCCUGUCAAAUCCCGCAACAGUCACGCACGCGAUACAUGGCGAAAAAGGUGGCGCAGAGAUCGAGGCGACCUGCCUUAUCCCAUCCGAUUACUGCGGCCUCGCCCCGUCCCCCGCGCUUCCCAAAAUUCAAAUCCCACAAAAUCCGCGGGUUGCAGAACAAUUCGUCAGACGAAAGAUCUCCUCCCCUCUGUCACUCGGAGCUCUCCAAGUGAAAACUUCACUCGGCAGAUACAAAGAAUGGAUCAAGGCGACUGAAAAAGAAGUUGGUGACAUCACCUAAAGUUCAUUGAUCCAAGACAAGACAUACUGAUAGCAUGUGAAAUGGGUCGGAAGAGUUCCCAACUCCUUCCCCACUCAAACCUCGAUCCAUUCGAGGGCUAAUGAUGAAGCUAUGUACCUAGGGUAGGGUCAUGGACCAGUCCAAACUACCCUACCCAAGGACAUCUCUAGAAGAAAUCACCUGUCAAUCAACUCAGAAGUGUUCCACUCGACAGACUCGAAGACACUCGACCAUGAAGCCAUCCACCCGACAGUGAGGAGACCUGAAGUCACUCUGCACGCCAACGGUCGGUCAUUAAGUAGCUUUUAUGGUCAUCAAAGCACUUUAUGUGUAGCGUUACCAAUAACGCCCAAUCUUAAUGUAACUUAAAGCCUGCAUAACUGAGGGCCAGAGGGGUCUGGCGGACUCUAUAUAAGCCACCCCCUCCUUAGUGUAAAGGGUUCGCACCCCUGUAACUCAUACGCAUAUAAUCCAGUCGACCGCCUCCAGGCUCUGAGACGUAGGGCUGUUACUUCCUCCGAGAAGGGCCCGAACUCGUAAACCUCUUGCGUAUACAACUACUCCAUAGCCAGGAUCUUGCCUCUCCAUACCUACCCCCCUUUCUACUGUCAGACUUAUAACCACGACAGCAGGCCAAAAAACGGUUCGAAAUAAUGGCCGAGCGGCGACGUGAUGUCACUCUACAAAAAGUUGUCAGCGAUUGGACUCGUGAAAUAUUAUACUCUCUACGGUUGUGUGUGGAAUUUGUUUUGCAGAGCCAGACACGAUUCUUGAUAACAGAACGUAUGUGCAAAGUCAUUCGUGAUAACCUCAAAGCAGCUCAAUCCCGCCAGAAGUGCUACUAUGAUAGUAAGCACCGUGAUCUGGUUUUUGAGAUCGGAGAUCAUGUUUACCUCCGCGUCUCUCCUAUGAAAGGUACUCGUCGCUUCGGUAUCAAAGGGAAGCUUGCCCCUAGAUACGUGGGACCUUUCAAGAUUGUCAGCAAGAGAGGCGACCUCGCCUAUCAACUCGAGCUUCCUUCAAACUUUGCAAAUGUUCAUGAUGUGUUCCACGUCUCUCAGCUUCGAAAGUGCUUCAAGACUCCUGACCGCACCGUCAACUUCGAGGAUAUUGAGCUCCAAGAAGAUCUCUCCUAUCGUGAGCACCCAGUUGCUAUUCUUGAAGAGACUGAACGCAAGACUCGCAACAAGUCAAUCAAAUUCCUCAAAGUUAAGUGGUCUCACCAUUCCGACCGUGAAGCUACCUGGGAACGCGAGGAUCACCUCCGUUCUGAGUACCCGGAGUUCUUUCAGUCCUAGAUCUCGGGACGAGAUCUUUUCGUAGUGGUGGAGUGUUGUAACGCCCCAGAUGUAACUUUCCCCAUUUGUACUCCAACUCUUGCCGUUUCCGGUGUCAAGUUAUAUUUAUUUCUCGGGUUCGGGUCCUUGUCUCCGUGUGUUGUUUUCGUUUUCAUGCACCUCAUACCAUGUCAUCACGUGCAUUGCAUUUGCAUACAUGUUCAUCUCAUGCAUUCGAUCAUUUUCCCCGUUGUCCGUUUUGCAUUCCGGCGCUUCGUUCUCCUCCGGUGGACAUUUCUAGCUUUCUUUCUUGUGUGGGGAUUAAACAUUUCCGGAUUGGACCGAGACUUGCCAAGCGGCCUUGGUUUACUACCGGUAGACCGCCUGUCAAGUUUCGUAUCAUUUGGACUUCGUUUGAUGCUCCAACGGUUAACCGAGGGACCGAAAAGGCCUCGUGUGUGUUGCAGCCCAACACCCCCCAAAUUUGGCCCAAAACCCACCAAACUCUGCUCCAUCGUCUCGGUCGUUCGAUCACGAUCGUGUGGGCGAAAACCGCACCUCAUUUGGACUCUCAUAGCUCCCUCUAUGCCUAUAUAUACACCCCUCCGUUUUCGGAUCUCUCCCUCUCCCCGAAACCCUAAAAAAAAUCAUCCCCGCCAGAUCCGCGCCGACGGACGUGUCCGCCCCGGCCGGACAACGUCCGCCGCAGACCGCCUCAGCCAGCCGGGUCGCGCCACGUGGCAGGACCACAUCGCCACCGCCGCCGGCCCGCANNNNNNNNNNNNNNNNNNNNNNNNNNNNNNNNNNNNNNNNNNNNNNNNNNNNNNNNNNNNNNNNNNNNNNNNNNNNNNNNNNNNNNNNNNNNNNNNNNNNNNNNNNNNNNNNNNNNNNNNNNNNNNNNNNNNNNNNNNNNNNNNNNNNNNNNNNNNNNNNNNNNNNNNNNNNNNNNNNNNNNNNNNNNNNNNNNNNNNNNNNNGCCCCGGCCUCUCCCCGCCGCCUCGCCGGCCUCCCCUCCUCCGGCGAGCUCGAGCUCCGCCGCCGGCGCCGCCUCGGCUUCCGCGCCGCGAUCCCGAUCUGGAUCCGGUCGCGUGAACAGUAAACCCUAACCCCGAUUUUUUUUGCUAAGUCCUGAAAAUUUUGAUCCAUGUUGCUCUGUUCGAGGUCCCGUAACUUUGCAACCGUAGCUCCGUUUUGGGCGUAUGAUAUAUCAAAAUCUUCGCCUCGCCAUGUACAUCAUUUCAUUCCAUUGCGUCAUUUGCAUUUGAGGUCAUCUUGAUACCCAAAAGGCUGUUAGAAGGAGGCUUCGUGAGUUAAAUUGCAGAUCCGUUAGUUCAUCAUGCACUCUUGUCAUUUUUGUCAUGUUUAAUUCGUGCAUGAUAUGCCUGUGCCCCUUUGGGAUGAAUUGUGAAGCAUUUUGUCUUCUUUCCAGAGGUGUCACCCAUGCAUUUUUAGGAUGUGUGUGUUGUCUUGUGCAAGCUUGCGAAGAGAGGUACCUGAGAUUGCAGAUUUCAGGGACUUCGUGAUUUUCACUAAGUCUGGGAUAUUUUAGUUCAUGAUGCCAUAUGUCCAGCUUGUUUCCUAGUGAUCCGUGCCUCUUUUGAGGAUGAUCAGUAAGGGAGUUUUGAUAUUUAUGUUAUUCUCUAUCCAUCCAUGUCUUUGUUUGCAUAUGUGGAGUGCUCUAGGUUGACUCAAUCGAGCUCAACUUUUGCUUCGUUGUUAAUCUGGGCAGAUCGUCAACUUGUUUGCGAUUUUGCCGAUGCUACCGUUAGUUUUCCAUGCAUGCUAUGCCUUUGUUCUUGCCAUGUGUAGCUAGCACUUUGUGCCUUCUUGCUGGUUAUAUGCUUUCCUUGCCAUGACUUGCACCAUAGAGAGUGCAUCAAGCUCGUUUACAUGCCUUCGUGAGUUAAAUUUCAGCAUGUCUCAGUUUUCACUAAGUCUGAAAACUGAUUGUGUUCGAGCGAUGUUCGUGAGCUCGGUAGAGUAUUUUGUGAACCCUUUUGGCCCCAGGUCACUUUGGGUGUUUUGUUAAGCUUGAUGAGUAGCUCCAUGCCAUGUUCUUACUUGUCAUGUUCAGGUUCUCUAUCAUGUUGUUUUUCUGCUCCGAAGAGAGCAUCGUGACCUGAAAUUUCAGACUAGUGUUAAUUUCACUAAGUCUGAAAUCUGUUUUGCAUUUGCGUUUUAGCCAUGCUUGUUUGAACCUCUUAAUGGAUGAAUUUGCCUAUGGCUCAGUGCUAGUGUUUUGUCAACCAUCUUGUGUACUUCACUGCCAUGUAUUUUGUUUUCAUGUUUGGUGGCUGUAGCAUGCUCAUUUCGUUGCAUUUAGAUGCCUACUUGCUGUAAAUCGCAGACCGGUGUCAUAUCUUAAAACGCUUGCCAUUUCCAAACCGUAACUCCGAUUCCAAUGAUCUUUAUAUCGUUUUCAAGCGAUUUCAUCCCCUCUAUCCAGUGGCACACUUGGUUUUCCAAGUUGAUGCCAGGUUCAUGCAUUUCCUGUCAUAUCUUGCAUUUUGCAUCCCGCAUCGCAUCCCGCAUAGCAUAUCGUCAUUUCAUCAUAUUGCUUGGUCUUGCCCGUGGUUGAUUGUAUCCUUGUUGCUUGUUUGUCUUUGGGUAGAGCCGGGAGACGAGUUCGCUACCGAGGAGCCCGUUGAGUUUGCUUGUGAGGAUCCAGUCAACUCUGACAACUGUGCAGGCAAGAUGAUCAUACCCUCGAAAUCACUACUAUCUUUGCUAUGCUAGUUUGCUCGCUCUUUUGCUUUGCCACUGCUACGAUGCCUACCUUUUGCUUGUCAGCCUCCCAAUUGCCAUGUUGAACCUCUAACCCACCAUUGUCCUAGCAAACCGUUGAUUGGCUAUGUUACCGCUUUGCUCAGCCCUUCUUAUAGCGUUGUUAGUUGCAGGUGAAGAUUGGAGCCGUUCCUUGUUGGAACAUUUAUAUUCUUGUUGGGAUAUCAUUAUAUUGCUAUGUUAUCUUAAUGCACCUAUAUACUUGGUAAAGGGUGGAAGGCUCGGCCUCUCGCCUAGUGUUUUGUUCCACUCUUGCCGCCCUAGUUUCCGUCAUAUCGGUGUUAUGUUCCCGGAUUGUGCGUCCCUUACGCGGUUGGGCUAUAAUGGGAACCCCUUGAUAGUUCGCCUUGAUUAAAGCUUUUCCAGCAAUGCCCAACAUUGGUUUUACCAUUUUCCACCUAGCCUCUUUUUCCCUUGGGUUUCCGGAGCCCGAGGGUCAUCUUAUUUUAACCCCCCCCCAGGCUAGUGCUCCUCUGAGUGUUGGUCCGAACCAGGCAGCCUGCGGGGCCACCUCGGGGAAACUUGAGGUUUGGUUUUACUCGUAGCUUGACCUAUCCGAGCGUGCCCUGAGAAAGAGAUAUGUGCAGCUCCUAUCGGGAUUUGUCGGCACAUUCGGGCGGUGUUGCUGGACUUGUUUUAACCUGUCGAAUCAUCUUGUUGUACCGAGAUACCGAGUCUGAUCGGUGUGUCUUGGGUGGAGGUCUAUUCCUUCGUUGACCGUGAGAGCUUGUUAUGGGCUAAGUUGGGACCCCCCUGUAGGGAUUGAUCUUCCGAAAGCCGUGCCCGCGGUUAUGGGCGGAUGGGAAUUUGUUAACGUCCGGUUGUAGAUGACUUGAACUAAACUUAAUUAAAAUGAAUCAACCGUGUGUGUUACCGUGAUGGCCCCUUCUCGGUGGAGUCCGGGAAGUGGACACGGUGUUGGAGUUAUGCUUGCGCAGGAGUUCCUUUAGCUUCUCGCUCGUGCUUCGCCUUCUCUUCUCGCUCUCUUUUGCGUAUAAGUUAGCCACCACAUAUGCUAGUUGCUGCUGCAGCUCCACAUAUAUUUGCCUUAUCCAUUCCUAUGAGCUUAAAUAGUCUUGAUCGCGUGGGUGUGAGAUUGCUGAGUCCCUGUGGCUCACAGAUACUACAACUCCAGAUGCAGGUCCAGGUGAUUCCGCUCCAGUUGACGAUUACGAGCUCAAGUGGGAGUUCGACGAGGACUCUCAGCGAUACUACGUGUCCUUUCCAGAUGAUCAGUAGUGGUGCCUAGUUGGGGUUAUCGAUUCAGGACCUUGUCACAUGUUGGGUUCUUUUCUAUUUUGGCGCCGUAGUUGGGCCAUGAGUGUUUGUUUGAUGGAUGUUAUUUAUGUACUCUGAUGUGACGUGGCGAGUGUAAGCCAACUAUGUUAUCUCCCCCUUUUAUUAUAUAUUACAUGGGAUGUUGUAAUGAUUGCCCGACUUGCGACAUUGCUUUCAAUGCGGUUAUGCCUCUAAGUCGUGCCUCGACACGUGGGAGCUAUAGCCGCAUCGAGGGCAUUACAAGUUGGUAAUCAGAGCCUUCCCCGACCUUAGGAGCCCCAUUGCUUGAUCGUUUUUAGCAGCCGAGUUGUGUCUAGAAAAAUGUUUUGAGUCCUUAGGAAUUAUAUAUCGGAGAGCUUAGGAAUUCUUUUACUUCCCAGUCUCCUCAUCGCUCUGGUAAGGCAUCCUAGCGUAGAGUUUUGACUCUUCUCUUCUCAAAUUUCACUAAAAAUUUUUUAGGAUCACGCGAGUAUCUUGGUUUUGUUCCGAUGGUUUUGUGACGAGAACAUUGUUCUUGGUGCCUCCUGUCUUUAGGGGUUGUGGCAGUGUCCCGGGGAGUUGAGCUCCGAGGUGUUGUCGUCACAAUUUUAUCGUUGCAAUUCUGGUAUACUUGAGAUAUGUUCGCCGACAUCGAAAAUCUCUUUUAUGCAGUUCGUUGGUGAGAUAACCUCGACGCCACCCAGUACUGGGGCGGGAGUUCGGGAGUAUCGCCAUAACUUGUAUAACGGAUGCUUUUCGAAGGUUGAGGUAGAUGGUUUCCGAAGUUUUCCUGGUUAUGUGUUGAAGGAUGGAUACAGCUGGAUGUAGGAUUUGCUAGUUUGGGUGAGAUAUUGUGCUUCCCCUGUAUCCCCAACACCUGAUUGCAUAACCGGAAAGGUUCGGGAAUUUCAUAGGUGGGAAUUCUAGUAGCUCUAGUUCUUCUUCCAUGGAUAUUGGUUUGAGAUUGGGAUUUCUUACCGAUUAUUCGUUCUUGAUCCGUACCUUGUUGAAUUAUUUCUCUUCCUUAAUUCUUCGUGGCUUCUCAAUUUAUGGAUAUGUGACCAUUUGAAGAGGAAUGCAUUCAUUCAUUUUGUUCGGAUGUGAAGACUAUAUGUUGCAAUUUUCAUUCCGUUGGAUUCAGCUUCUAUAUUGUUGUCUAUCUAUGUGCUAAUGGUGGUCAACCUCUUCAGGAUGGCUCCUCCAACGCGCACGACUCCGAAUCCUAAUCCGCCUCCACCUCCGCCUGCUCCGGAAGCAUGGCAAGCUGUGAUGGCCGCUACUAAUGCAAACACACAGUUGAUCAUGCAAAUCCUUCAAGAGCGCAAUCAAGGCAGUCAAGGGAAUCAAGGCCACAAUCAGCACCACUUUGCUACACUGAACCAGUUCCUUGCUAAUGGCCCAAAGACGUUCAACGGUUGUGUUGAGGCUACCGAUGCUGACGAUUGGCUAGUGGAUCUGGGCAAGCAUUUUGAAUGUAGCAACGUCAGGCCUGAAGAUUUCGUCAAGUUCGCUUCUUUCCAGCUCAAAGAUCAGGCUGCAGAGUGGUUCCAGCAGUACAAGGAUUCCAGAGGUGGACGUGUUAUCACUUGGGACGAUUUCCGUCAAGAUUUCCGCGCUCAUCACAUCCCUCAAAGUGUGGUUGAGAGUAAGCGUCAGGAAUUCCGCAAUCUGAAGCAAGGCUCUUUGUCUGUCUAUGACUACAACAAGUUGUUCCAGAAGCUCGCCCGUUUUGCCAAGCAGGAUGUUCCUGAUGAGAAGAGCAUGAUCUAUCAGUUCAGGGGUGGUCUUCGUGAGGAAAUUCAGCUCGCUCUUGUUCUCUUUGAGCCGUUGAGAUACGAUGAGUUCUACAACAUGGCACUGAAGCAAGAGGCUGCUCAGAUGAGAUGUGAUGCUUCCAGGAAGCGUGCCAGAGAUGUUACUCCUUCUUCCUCUACUCAAGUGGUCAAGCAGCAGAAGUUCUGGCUUCCUCCUCCUCCGUUCCGUCAGCCGUAUCAGCAGAAGAGCAAAGGUGGAAGUGGUUUCUCCCACCCACCCAACCCAGGCUUUCAGAACAAGUCUUCAUCUCAAUCUCCAAGAUCGAGUGCUCCGUAUCACCGUCCGCUUUCAGAGGUCACGUGCAACAAGUGCCAACAGAAGGGUCACUAUGCCAACAAGUGUACCAACCAGAGGCGUCUUCCUCCUCCUCCUCCUGUCAGAUCGGCAAGUACAGCUGUGGUCAAGCAUAAUCCCAAGCACGCCAAGGUCAAUAUGCUGAAUGCAGCUCAGGCUGAGGAUUCUUCAGAUGUCAUUAUGGGUAACCUUCCUAUUAAUGAUAUUCUUGCAAAAGUUCUUUUUGACACGGGUGCAUCGCAUAGUUUCAUGUCAAAGCCAUUUUUUACCAAGCAUGAGUUCGUUUCUUCUCAUUUGGGUAAACAUAUGGAUAUCAUUUCUCCUGGCAAACGUUUGAGCGCAAGUCUGGAGGUGCCAGAUGUCGCUAUCACGAUGGGCGAUUUCAAGUUUCUUGCUUCUCCUAUGGUUCUUGGUAACUCCGAUAUCGACCUUAUUCUCGGGAUGGACUGGCUCUCUAAGCAUAAAGCUCAGCUUGAUUGUGCAGCCAGGCAGAUUCAAUUGACUCAUUCGUCUGAGGAUGUAAUUGUCUUUGCUGCUCAGGAUAAUACCAUCCGAUUGUUUUCUCUCAAUGAGAAGGGUGAAUUGGAUGCUAUUUCGCAGAUUCCUGUCGUUUGCGAAUAUCAAGACGUCUUUCCAGAAGAACUUCUAGGGAUGCCUCCAAACCGGCCGGUUGAAUUUGUUAUUGAACUUGAGCCCGGUACGGAACCUGUGUGCAAACGUCCCUACAAGCUCGGCCCCGAAGAGUUGAAGGAGUUGAAGAGACAACUCGAUGAGCAAGAAAGAUUGGGUCUCAUUCGGCCUAGUACUUCUCCGUGGGGUUGUGGUGUUCUUUUUGUGAAGAAGAAGGAUGGAUCGAGUCGACUUUGUGUUGAUUACCGUCCAGUAAACAAGAAGACCAUCAAGAACAAAUACCCACUUCCCAACAUCAAUGAGCUGUUCGAACAACUCAAGGGUGCUCAAGUAUUCUCCAAGCUUGAUCUCCGUAUGGGUUAUCAUCAGAUUCGUAUUCGUGAGCAAGAUAUUCCCAAGACGGCGUUCAGGACAAGCUUUGGUUCAUAUGAAUACACCGUCAUGUCUUUUGGCCUCGCCAACGCUCCUCCGACGUUCUCUCGCAUGAUGAACUUCAUCUUCAACCCCUACACCAAUGAAUUCGUUUUGGUCUAUCUCGACGACAUUCUGGUUUUCUCGAAGAACAAGGAAGAUCAUGCCAAGCACUUGCGUUUGGUUCUUGACAAGCUCAGGGAACAUCAGUUCUACGCCAAGUUCUCCAAGUGUGAAUUUUGGCUCGAUGAGGUUCUUUAUCUUGGUCAUAUCAUCUCUGCCAAGGGCAUUUCUGUGAAUCCUGAGAAGGUGUCCGCAAUUGUGAAUUGGGAACCUCCUCAGAACGUGAAGCAACUCCGCAGUUUCCUCGGUCUCGCAAGCUAUUGCAGAAGAUUCGUUGAAAACUUUUCUAAGAUCGCCAAGCCUCUCUCAAAUCUUCUUCAGAAGCACGUCAAGUACGUUUGGUCUCCGGAGUGUGAUAUUGCUUUCAACUCUUUGAAAGAGAAAUUGGUCACUGCUCCAGUUCUGACUCCGCCUGAUGAAACCAAGCCGUACGAGGUCUUUUGUGAUGCCUCUCUCCAAGGUCUCGGUGCUGUACUGAUGCAAGAGAAGAAAGUUGUUGCUUAUACCUCUCGCCAGUUGAAACCUAAUGAGAAGAACUACCCCACUCAUGAUCUCGAGUUGGCGGCAGUUGUGCACGCUUUGUUGACUUGGAGACAUCUUCUAUUGGGAAGGAAAGUGGAUAUUUUCACUGAUCACAAGAGUCUCAAGUACAUCUUCACUCAGCCUAAUCUCAACCUCAGGCAGACUCGAUGGGUCGAAAUGAUUCAAGAGUACAAUCCGAGUAUCGAGUAUACUCCAGGCAAGGCUAAUGUAAUUGCUGACGCUUUGAGCAGAAAAGCAUAUUGCAACAGUCUGAUUCUCAAGCCUUAUCAACCCGAGCUUUGUGAAGCUUUCCGCAAACUUAAUCUGCAAGUUGUUACUCAAGGUUUCCUCGCCAACCUUCAAGUCUCUCCUACCUUAGAAGACCAGAUUCGCCAAGCCCAACUUCUUGAUGCUAUGGUGAAGAAGGUGAAGAUUGGUAUUGCAAAGAGUCAGUCCAAGUACAAGUGCUACCGACUUGAUGACAAGGACGCUCUCUUCUUCGAGGAUCGAAUUGUUGUGCCCAAAGGUGAACUUCGUAAGGUGAUCAUGAACGAGGCUCACAACUCUCUCCUCUCCAUCCACCCUGGUAGUACGAAGAUGUAUCAGGACCUCAAGCAAGCUUAUUGGUGGACUCGAAUGAAGCGCGAGAUCGCUCAAUUCGUGAAUGAAUGUGAUGUCUGCAGAAGAGUGAAGGCAGAACACCAAAGGCCAGCUGGUCUCCUCCAACCUCUUGCCAUUCCAGAAUGGAAGUUUGACCACAUUGAAAUGGACUUCGUGACUGGGUUUCCAAAGUCCAAGCAUGGCAAUGAUGCUAUAUUCGUCGUUAUCGACAAGCUCACCAAAGUGGCUCAUUUUCUGCCUAUCAAAGAGUCAAUCACUGCAGCUCAAUUGGCGGAACUCUAUACCUCUCGCAUUGUCUCUCUGCACGGUAUUCCUCAAGUGAUAUCUUCAGACCGUGGCAGCAUCUUUACCUCCAAGUUUUGGGAUUCUUUUCAGAAGGCCAUGGGCACCAACAUCCGCUUCAGCACAGCUUUCCAUCCUCAAACGAGCGGUCAAGUCGAGCGUGUCAACCAGAUUCUCGAAGACAUGCUCAGGGCUUGUGUGAUUUCUUUCGGCAUGAAGUGGGAGGACUGUCUUCCUUAUGCUGAAUUCUCAUACAACAACAGCUUUCAAGCAAGUUCGGGCAAGGCCCCCUUUGAAAUUCUAUAUGGCAGGAAGUGCCGUACCCCUCUCAACUGGUCUGAAACCGGUGAAUGUCAGCUGCUGGGUAAUGACUUAAUCACAGAAGCAGAAGAUAUGUGCAAAGUCAUUCGUGAUAACCUCAAAGCAGCUCAAUCCCGCCAGAAGUGCUACUAUGAUAGUAAGCACCGUGAUCUGGUUUUUGAGAUCGGAGAUCAUGUUUACCUCCGCGUCUCUCCUAUGAAAGGUACUCGUCGCUUCGGUAUCAAAGGGAAGCUUCCCCCUAGAUACGUGGGACCUUUCAAGAUUGUCAGCAAGAGAGGCGACCUCGCCUAUCAACUCGAGCUUCCUUCAAACUUUGCAAAUGUUCAUGAUGUGUUCCACGUCUCUCAGCUUCGAAAGUGCUUCAAGACUCCUGACCGCACCGUCAACUUCGAGGAUAUUGAGCUCCAAGAAGAUCUCUCCUAUCGUGAGCACCCAGUUGCUAUUCUUGAAGAGACUGAACGCAAGACUCGCAACAAGUCAAUCAAAUUCCUCAAAGUUAAGUGGUCUCACCAUUCCGACCGUGAAGCUACCUGGGAACGCGAGGAUCACCUCCGUUCUGAGUACCCGGAGUUCUUUCAGUCCUAGAUCUCGGGACGAGAUCUUUUCGUAGUGGUGGAGUGUUGUAACGCCCCAGAUGUAACUUUCCCCAUUUGUACUCCAACUCUUGCCGUUUCCGGUGUCAAGUUAUAUUUAUUUCUCGGGUUCGGGUCCUUGUCUCCGUGUGUUGUUUUCGUUUUCAUGCACCUCAUACCAUGUCAUCACGUGCAUUGCAUUUGCAUACAUGUUCAUCUCAUGCAUUCGAUCAUUUUCCCCGUUGUCCGUUUUGCAUUCCGGCGCUUCGUUCUCCUCCGGUGGNNNNNNNNNNNNNNNNNNNNNNNNNNNNNNNNNNNNNNNNNNNNNNNNNNNNNNNNNNNNNNNNNNNNNNNNNNNNNNNNNNNNNNNNNNNNNNNNNNNNNNNNNNNNNNNNNNNNNNNNNNNNNNNNNNNNNNNNNNNNNNNNNNNNNNNNNNNNNNNNNNNNNNNNNNNNNNNNNNNNNNNNNNNNNNNNNNNNNNNNNNNNNNNNNNNNNNNNNNNNNNNNNNNNNNNNNNNNNNNNNNNNNNNNNNNNNNNNNNNNNNNNNNNNNNNNNNNNNNNNNNNNNNNNNNNNNNNNNNNNNNNNNNNNNNNNNNNNNNNNNNNNNNNNNNNNNNNNNNNNNNNNNNNNNNNNNNNNNNNNNNNNNNNNNNNNNNNNNNNNNNNNNNNNNNNNNNNNNNNNNNNNNNNNNNNNNNNNNNNNNNNNNNNNNNNNNNNNNNNNNNNNNNNNNNNNNNNNNNNNNNNNNNNNNNNNNNNNNNNNNNNNNNNNNNNNNNNNNNNNNNNNNNNNNNNNNNNNNNNNNNNNNNNNNNNNNNNNNNNNNNNNNNNNNNNNNNNNNNNNNNNNNNNNNNNNNNNNNNNNNNNNNNNNNNNNNNNNNNNNNNNNNNNNNNNNNNNNNNNNNNNNNNNNNNNNNNNNNNNNNNNNNNNNNNNNNNNNNNNNNNNNNNNNNNNNNNNNNNNNNNNNNNNNNNNNNNNNNNNNNNNNNNNNNNNNNNNNNNNNNNNNNNNNNNNNNNNNNNNNNNNNNNNNNNNNNNNNNNNNNNNNNNNNNNNNNNNNNNNNNNNNNNNNNNNNNNNNNNNNNNNNNNNNNNNNNNNNNNNNNNNNNNNNNNNNNNNNNNNNNNNNNNNNNNNNNNNNNNNNNNNNNNNNNNNNNNNNNNNNNNNNNNNNNNNNNNNNNNNNNNNNNNNNNNNNNNNNNNNNNNNNNNNNNNNNNNNNNNNNNNNNNNNNNNNNNNNNNNNNNNNNNNNNNNNNNNNNNNNNNNNNNNNNNNNNNNNNNNNNNNNNNNNNNNNNNNNNNNNNNNNNNNNNNNNNNNNNNNNNNNNNNNNNNNNNNNNNNNNNNNNNNNNNNNNNNNNNNNNNNNNNNNNNNNNNNNNNNNNNNNNNNNNNNNNNNNNNNNNNNNNNNNNNNNNNNNNNNNNNNNNNNNNNNNNNNNNNNNNNNNNNNNNNNNNNNNNNNNNNNNNNNNNNNNNNNNNNNNNNNNNNNNNNNNNNNNNNNNNNNNNNNNNNNNNNNNNNNNNNNNNNNNNNNNNNNNNNNNNNNNNNNNNNNNNNNNNNNNNNNNNNNNNNNNNNNNNNNNNNNNNNNNNNNNNNNNNNNNNNNNNNNNNNNNNNNNNNNNNNNNNNNNNNNNNNNNNNNNNNNNNNNNNNNNNNNNNNNNNNNNNNNNNNNNNNNNNNNNNNNNNNNNNNNNNNNNNNNNNNNNNNNNNNNNNNNNNNNNNNNNNNNNNNNNNNNNNNNNNNNNNNNNNNNNNNCGGCGAGCUCGAGCUCCGCCGCCGGCGCCGCCUCGGCUUCCGCACCGCGAUCCCGAUCUGGAUCCGGUCGCGUGAACAGUAAACCCUAACCCCGAUUUUUUUUGCUAAGUCCUGAAAAUUUUGAUCCAUGUUGCUCUGUUCGAGGUCCCGUAACUUUGCAACCGUAGCUCCGUUUUGGGUGUAUGAUAUAUCAAAAUCUUCGCCUCAACAUGUACAUCAUUUCAUUCCAUUGCGUCAUUUGCAUUUGGGGUCAUCUUGAUACCCAAAAGGCUGUUAGAAGGAGGCUUCCUGAGUUAAAUUGCAGAUCCGUUAGUUCAUCAUGCACUCUUGUCAUUUUUGUCAUGUUUAAUUCGUGCAUGAUAUGCCUGUGCCCCUUUGGGAUGAAUUGUGAAGCAUUUUGUCUUCUUUCCAGAGGUGUCACCCAUGCAUUUUUAGGAUGUGUGUGUUGUCUUGUGCAAGCUUGCGAAGAGAGGUACCUGAGAUUGCAGAUUUCAGGGACUUGGUGAUUUUCACUAAGUCUGGGAUAUUUUAGUUCAUGAUGCCAUAUGUCCAGCUUGUUUCCUACUGAUCCGUGCCUCUUUUGAGGAUGAUCAGUAAGGGAGUUUUGAUAUUUAUGUUAUGCUCUAUCCAUCCAUGUCUUUGUUUACAUAUGUGGAGUGCUCUAGGUUGACUCAAUCGAGCUCAACUUUUGCUUCGUUGUUAAUCUGGGCAGAUCGUCAACUUGUUUGCGAUUUUGCCGAUGCUACCGUUAGUGUUCCAUGCAUGCUAUGCCUUUGUUCUUGCCAUGUGUAGCUAGCACUUUGUGCCUUCUUGCUGGUUAUAUGCUUUCCUUGCCAUGACUUGCAACGUAGCGAGUGCAUCGAGCUCGUUUACAUGCCUUCGUGAGUUAAAUUUCAGCAUGUCUCAGUUUUCACUAAGUCUGAAAACUGAUUGUGUUCGAGCGAUGUUCGUGAGCUCGGUAGAGUAUUUUGUGAACCCUUUUGGCCCCAGGUCACUUUGGGUGUUUUGUUAAGCUUGAUGAGUAGCUCCAUGCCAUGUUCUUACUUGUCAUGUUCAGGUUCUCUAUCAUGUUGUUUUGCUGCUCCGAAGAGAGCAUCGUGACCUGAAAUUUCAGACUAGUGUUAAUUUCACCAAGUCUUAAAUCUGUUUUGCAUUUGCGUUUUAGCCAUGCUUGUUUGAACCUCUUAAUGGAUGAAUUUGCCUAUGGCUCAGUGCUAGUGUUUUGUCAACCAUCUUGUGUACUUCACUGCCAUGUAUUUUGUUUUCAUGUUUGGUGGCUGUAGCAUGCUCAUUUCGUUGCAUUUAGAUGCCUACUUGCUGUAAAUCGCAGACCGGUGUCAUAUCUUAAAACGCUUGCCAUUUCCAAACCGUAACUCCGAUUCCAAUGAUCUUUAUAUCGUUUUCAAGCGAUUUCAUCCCCUCUAUCCAGUGGCACACUUGGUUUUCCAAGUUGAUGCCAGGUUCAUGCAUUUCCUGUCAUAUCUUGCAUUUUGCAUCCCGCAUCGCAUCCCGCAUAGCAUAUCGUCAUUUCAUCAUAUUGCUUGGUCUUGCCCGUGGUUGAUUGUAUCCUUGUUGCUUGUUUGUCUUUGGGUAGAGCCGGGAGACGAGUUCGCUACCGAGGAGCCCGUUGAGUUUGCUUGUGAGGAUCCAGUCAACUCUGACAACUGUGCAGGCAAGAUGAUCAUACCCUCGAAAUCACUACUAUCUUUGCUAUGCUAGUUUGCUCGCUCUUUUGCUUUGCCACUGCUACGAUGCCUACCUUUUGCUUGUCAGCCUCCCAAUUGCCAUGUUGAACCUCUAACCCACCAUUGUCCUAGCAAACCGUUGAUUGGCUAUGUUACCGCUUUGCUCAGCCCUUCUUAUAGCGUUGUUAGUUGCAGGUGAAGAUUGGAGCCGUUCCUUGUUGGAACAUUUAUAUUCUUGUUGGGAUAUCAUUAUAUUGCUAUGUUAUCUUAAUGCACCUAUAUACUUGGUAAAGGGUGGAAGGCUCGGCCUCUCGCCUAGUGUUUUGUUCCACUCUUGCCGCCCUAGUUUCCGUCAUAUCGGUGUUAUGUUCCCGGAUUGUGCGUCCCUUACGCGGUUGGGCUAUAAUGGGAACCCCUUGAUAGUUCGCCUUGAUUAAAGCUUUUCCAGCAAUGCCCAACAUUGGUUUUACCAUUUGCCACCUAACCUCUUUUUCCCUUGGGUUUCCGGAGCCCGAGGGUCAUCUUAUUUUAACCCCCCCCCCCGGGCCAGUGCUCCUCUGAGUGUUGGUCCGAACCAAGCAGCCUGCGGGGCCACCUCGGGGAAACUUGAGGUUUGGUUUUACUCGUAGCUUGACCUAUCCGAGCGUGCCCUGAGAAAGAGAUAUGUGCAGCUCCUAUCGGGAUUUGUCGGCACAUUCGGGCGGUGUUGCUGGACUUGUUUUAACCUGUCGAAUCAUCUUGUUGUACCGAGAUACCGAGUCUGAUCGGUGUGUCUUGGGUGGAGGUCUAUUCCUUCGUUGACCGUGAGAGCUUGUUAUGGGCUAAGUUGGGACCCCCCUGCAGGGAUUGAUCUUUCGAAAGCCGUGCCCGCGGUUAUGGGCGGAUGGGAAUUUGUUAACGUCCGGUUGUAGAUGACUUGAACUAAACUUAAUUAAAAUGAAUCAACCGUGUGUGUUACCGUGAUGGCCCCUUCUCGGCGGAGUCCGGGAAGUGGACACGGUGUUGGAGUUAUGCUUGCGCAGGAGUUCCUUUAGCUUCUCGCUCGUGCUUCGCCUUCUCUUCACGCUCUCUUUUGCGUAUAAGUUAGCCACCACAUAUGCUAGUCGCUGCUGCAGCUCCACAUAUAUUUGCCUUAUCCAUUCCUAUGAGCUUAAAUAGUCUUGAUCGCGUGGGUGUGAGAUUGCUGAGUCCCUGUGGCUCACAGAUACUACAACUCCAGAUGCAGGUCCAGGUGAUUCCGCUCCAGUUGACGAUUACGAGCUCAAGUGGGAGUUCGACGAGGACUCUCAGCGAUACUACGUGUCCUUUCCAGAUGAUUAGUAGUGGUGCCUAGUUGGGGUUAUCGAUUCAGGACCUUGUCGCAUGUUGGGUUCUUUUCUAUUUUGGCGCCGUAGUCGGGCCAUGAGUGUUUGUUUGAUGGAUGUUAUUUAUGUACUCUUAUGUGACGUGGCGAGUGUAAGCCAACUAUGUUAUCUCCCCCUUUUAUUAUAUAUUACAUGGGAUGUUGUAAUGAUUGCCCGACUUGCGACAUUGCUUUCAAUGCGGUUAUGCCUCUAAGUCGUGCCUCGACACGUGGGAGCUAUAGCCGCAUCGAGGGCGUUACAUAUUCCCUGCAUCUUGGUCGAUCGAUGGUUCUCUGUAAUACUCGGUAGCUGUUUGGACCAUGUCGCUUUUUAACUUGUGCUGCUUGUGUGGCAGCACUGUUUCAUUAUCUCGUGAAAUAGUACCGGUGCUUAUUUAAUUUGUCUAUCAAGUGUCCAAUUCUUAGUGUGAUCUCCUUUUUCUUGAGUAGUUAUUGCUAUGAUCCUAUUUGUUAGCUCAUCUUGGUUUGGUAAGUUAUGCAACCUUUGCUCUGAAUUUUGAAUGUGGACAUAUGCAAAUCACUGCAGCCAACGACACUGAACUUGUUUGGCAAUAAAGAAACAACGAUUAUAUUUCUAACAAGUUUCCUUGUUUAUCUAUAAUAGUACUAGAAAUUGUCUAUUCAUGAGUGUCAGUUGGAUAUACUACCCUUCAGGAGACGUAAUCCAGAUUGUUAGCUUCCCUGACAUCUUCAUACAUUGUAGCACCACAUAACAUCUUCAUACAAUCAGAAUCCUUAGUCUGAUUAUAAAUACAAAGAUCUUGUGGUAUCUCACCAGCCACCAGGUGACCUGACUGGUCCAUCCAUCUUUGGCCCAUCAAGUUGCAUCUUACGUGUCACAUCAGAUUCUUCUUGCUUUUGUGUUUAUUACUAUUUGAUUUAAUCUAAAAGUAGUUCUGUACCUCUUGAUGUAGCUCUAACAAGGCCAUGAAAUAAUUCAUACUAUUUCUUCAUUAUAAUUUUCCCUUUGCAAAUAGUAUACAACCUCUGAAGUUGAACGGAGCUUGCAUUUGUUCUCUUUUUAAUUCUGUAUUUUGUGCUCUUAAUAUUCCUUCAAAUAUACCUGAAGUCUCUUUGUUUGCUGAGACGAAUUUUGUUUUCCUCCAGGUCCCACUGAACCAGGUUGAGAAGUGGAACAAGCAGAGGGAGAAUGAGACGUUUGCAGAGUCUCCUCAGUUGCUUUUGUGCCUGUGCUACUACCGACUUGUAGUUGGAAUUUAUGCUCAUGUCAUGUACUCUCUUCCAACAAUCGCUGCAGAACAUCAAGUGAUGCUUUUCUCUAUAUUGCAUAAAUAGUUGAGCAUGCUUAUGUAUUCUCAUCAUGCUUAAAUGUAUGCAUGUAUUUCCUGGGACUUGUGAAUGCCGAGAACCUAUGAGACAUUUUUUUUUCUAAGUCAUGCUGAUGUGAGAGAAUAUGUUCCUGUUAUGUGACAACACAAUUAUGUGAUGAUAUAUUGAUUCCAAGUCAAGAGAAUUAUGUUGUUCAUGUGAAGAAUUGUUGCAAGGUUAGAUUUUAAACUGUUUUACACCAUUUUAAUUCAAUAUGGCAAUCCCUUCCUGUCAAACAUUGUUUUGUACAGAGGGGGAUUUGAAGGAUGUGUGGCUGGAGGGUGAUUUGAGGUUUCAAGGGGAUUGGGUUGAAGAGGGGGAUUCACCAAAUCCCCUGGAAUCCUCUCCUCCCAAAACCUCCACAAUCCCUUGCCGCCAAACAAGGCCUAAAGGGCAUCCCGGACCCUGGUGCUCGGGGCGUUCGGAGGCAGAGGAAACAUCGGGGCCAACCGUGCCGGUCGGGGAUCCACUGGUCACCGGAGGCGAACGCUUGGAUGCCGCCGCUGACGACUUGAACAUCGGGGAAGAGGGACGGAAGACAUGCCAUGUCUGCAGCGAUAAAUCCUUGCUUGAUCGAUCCUUGCACAGAGCUAGCUCAAUCUUACACGUACUCCCUCCGUUUCUCUUUAGUCCGCAUAUAAGAUUUGGUCAAAGUCAAACUUUGUAGAAACAAAUAUCAGCAUCUACAAUACUAAAGUUGUACGGUAUGAAAACUAAUUUCACGAUGCAUCUAACAAUAUUUAUUUCAUAUUGUGAAUCUUGAUAUUAUUUUCUAUAAACUUAGUCAAAUUUAACAAAUUUUUGACUUUGAUCAAAUCUUAUAUGCAGGUGCUACAUCUUGAGCUUGCGUUGGUUUUCCUUCAAGAGGAAAGGGUGAUGCAACAAUAGUAGCAUAAGUAUUUCCCUCAGUUUUUGAGAACCAAGGUAUCAAUCCUGUAGGAGGCUCCUCAAAAGUCCCACGCACCUACACAAACAAACAAAGAACUCACAACCAACGCAAUAAAGGGGUUGUCAAUCCCUUCACAGCCACUUGCGAAAGUGAGAUCUGAUAGAGAUAGUAUGAUAAGAUAAAUAUAUUUUUGGUGUUUCAUAAUAUAUAUGCAAAAAUUAAGAUGCAAAUAAAAGUAGAUUGAAAGCAAAUAAGAUAAAAGAUAGACCCGGGGACCAUAGGUUUCACUAGAGGCUUCUCUCAAGAUAGCAUAAGUAUUACGGUGGGUGAACAAAUUACUGUCGAGCAAUUGAUAGAAAAGCGAAUAGUUAUGAGAUUAUCUAGGCAUGAUCAUGUAUAUAGGAAUUACGUCCGCAACAAGUAGACCGACUCCUGCCUGCAUCUACUACUAUUACUCCACACAUCGACCGACUCCUUCCUGCAUCUAGAGUAUUAAGUUCAUAAAGAACAGAGUAACACAUUAAGCAAGAUGACAUGAUGUAGAGGGAUAAACUCAUGCAAUAUGAUAUAAACCCCAUCUUUUUAUCCUCGAUGGCAACAAUACAAUAUGUGCCUUGCAACCCUUUCUGUCACUGGGUAAGGACACCGCAAGAUUGAACCCAAAGCUAAGCACUUCUCCCAUGGCAAGAAAGAUUAAUCUAGUAGGCCAACCAAACUGAUAAUUCGAAGAGACUUGCAAAGAUAACUCAAUCAUACAUAAAAGAAUUCAGAGAAGAUUCAAAUAUUAUUCAUAGAUAAACUUGAUCAUAAACCCACAAUUCAUCGGAUCUCGACAAACACACCGCAAAAAGAGUUUACAUCGAAUAGAUCUCCAUAGAGAGAGGGGGAGAACAUUGUAUUGAGAUCCAAAAAGAGAGAAGAAGCCAUCUAGCUAAUAAUUAUGGACUCGAAGGUCUGUGGUAAACUACUCACAACUCAUCAGAGGGGCUAUAGUGUUGAUGUAGAAGCCCUCCAUGGUCGAUUCCCCCUCCGGCAGAGCACCGGCGAAGGCUCCAAGAUGGGAUCUCGCGGAUACAGAAGGUUACGGCGGUGGAAAUUGUGUUCCGGUGGCUCCCUGGAUGUUUUCGGGGUACGUAGGCUUAUAUAGGAGGAAGAAGUAUGUCGGUGGCCGCUCGAGGGGCCCACGAGACAGGGGGCGGGCCCUCCCCUCUCGUGGCCGCCUCGACUGCUUCUUGACUUACACUCCAAGUCCUGUGAAUCACGUUCGUUCCAAAAAUCACGCUCCCGAAGGUUUCAUUCCGUUUGGACUCCGUUUGAUAUUCCUUUUCUUCGAAAUACUGAAACAGGCAAAAAAACAACAAUACGGGCUAGGCCUCCGGUUAGUAGGUUAGUCAAAAAAAUGAUAUAAAUGUGUAAAAUAAAGCCCAUAAACAUCCAAAAGGGGUAAUAUAAUAGCAUGGAACAAUAAAAAAUUAUAGAUACAUUGGAGACGUAUCAAGCAUCCCCAAGCUUAAUUCAUGCUUGUCCUCGAGUAGGUAAAUGAUAAAAACAGAAUUUUUGAUGUGGAAUGCUACCUAGCGUAAUUCUCAAUGUAAUUUUCUUUAUUGUGGCAUGAAUGUUCAGAUCCAAAUGAUUCAAAAUAAAAGUGCAUAUUGAUAAAAGAAAUAGUAAUACUUGAAGCAUACUAAUCAAAGCAAUCAUGCCUUCUCAAAAUAACAUGGCAAAAGAAAGUUCAUCUCUACAAAAUCAUAUAAUUAGGCUAUGCUUCAUUUUUGUCACACAAAGAUGUUCCCAACUUCUAUACCCCCGAUGAUAAGCCAAGCAAUUGUUUCAUACUUAAAUAAUCUCAAACUUUUUCAACCUUCACGCAAUACAUGAGCGUGAGCAAUGGAUAUAGCACUAUGGGUGAAAUUGAAUAUGAUGAUGGGGAUUGUGUGGAGAAGACAAAAAGGAGAAAGUCUCACAUUGACGAGGAUAAUCAACGGGCUAUGGAGAUGCCCAUCAAUUGAUGUCAACAUGAGGAGUAGGGAUUGCCAUGCAACGGAUGCACUAGAGCUAUAAAUGAAUGCUCAACAAAAGGAAACUAGUGGAUGUGCAUCCAACUUGCUUGCUCACUAAGACCUAGGGCAUUUGAGGAAGCCCAUCAUAGGAAUAUACAAGGAAAGUUCUAUAAUGAAAAAUUCCCACUAGUAUGAAAAAGACAACCUAUGAGACUCACUAUAUGAAAAACAUGGUGCUACUUUGAAGCACAAUAUAUGAGACUCACUACAUGAAGAACAAGGUGCUACUUUGAAGCACAAUUGUGGAAAAAGAGAUAGUAACAUUGCCCUUUUUUUCUUUUUUUUCUUUGGCCUUUUCUUUGGCCUUUCCUAUUUUUUCUUUUUUCUUUUUGGGCAAUGCUCUAAUAAUGCUGAUCAUCACACUUUCAUUGAUUACAACAUAUGAAUUACAACUCGAAACUAGAACAAGAUAUGACUCUAUAUGAAUGCCUCCGGCGGUGUACCGGGAUGGUGCAAUGAAUCAAGAGUGACAUGUAUAAAAAAUAAUGCAUGGUGGCUUUGCCACAAAUACGAUGUCAACUACAUGAUCAUGCAAUAACAACAAAAGUAAAAUAUGUCAUGAUGAUGAUGAACGGAACGGUGGAAAGUUGCAUGGCAAUAUAUCUCGGAAUGGCUAUGGAAAUGCCAUAAUAGGUAGGUAUGGUGGCUGUUUUGAGGAAGAUAUAAGGAGGUUUAUGUGUGAUAGAGCGUAUCGUAUCAUGGGGUUUCGAUGCACCGGCGAAGUUUGCACCAACUCUCAAAGUGAGAAAGGGCAAUGCACGGUACCGAAGAGGCUAGCAAAGGUGGAAAGGUAAAAGUGUGUAUAGUCCAUGGACUCAACAUUAAUCAAAAGAACUCAUAUAGUUAUUGCAAAAAUUUAGAAGUCAUCAAAAAUCAAGCACUACGCGCAUGCUCCUAGGGGGAUAGAUUGGUAGGAAAAUACCAUCGCUCGUCCCCGACCACCACUCAUAAGGAUGCACAAGCCAGGUACACUUCAUGUUUCAAAUUUGUUACACGACUUUAACCAUACGUGCAUGCUACGGGACUUGCUAACUUCAACACAAGCAUUCUUUAAAUUCAUAAUCACCCAACUAGUAUUACUUUAAUAUCACUACCUCCAUAUAUCAAAACAAUUAUCAAGUAUCAAAUUGAUCAUAGCAUCCAAUUCACUUCCUAUGAUAGUUUUUAUUAUACCCAACUUGGAUGCUCAUCAUUCUAGGACCAAAUUUAUAACCAUACAAAUACCAUGCUGUUCUAAAAGACUCUCAAAAUAAUAUAAGUGAAGCAUGAGAGACUAACAAUUUCUAUAAAAUCAAGCCACCGCCUUGCUCUAAAAGAUAUAAGCGAAGCACUAGAGCAGAAACUAUCAAGCUCAAAAGAUAUAAGUGAAGCACAUAGCAUAUUCUAAUAAAUUCUAAUCAAAUAGGAUUCUCCCAAAAGGUGUGUACAUCAAGGAUGAUUGUGGUAAACUAAAAAUCAAAGACUAAUAUAAUACACGACGCUCCAAGCAAAACACAUAUCAUGUGGCAAAUAAAAAUAUAGCUCCAAGUAAAGUUACCAAUGAACGAAGACGAAAGAGGGGAUGCCUUCCCGGGGCAUCCCCAAGCUUAGGAUUUUGGCUAUUAUUGAAUAUCUUGGGGUUCCAUGGGCAUCCCCAAGCUUAGGCUCUUGCCACUCCUUGUUCCAUACUCCAUAAAAGCUUUACCCAAAACUUGAAAACUUCACAACACAAAACUCAACAGGAAAUCUUAUAAGCUCCGUUAGUGAAAGAAAACAAAACCACCACAUAAGAUACUGUAAUGAACUCAUUCUUUAUUUAUUUUGGUGUUAAACCUAUUGUAUUCCAAGUUCUCUAUGGUUCAUACCCUUACAUACUAGCCAUAGAUGCAUCAAAAUAAGCAAACAACACACGAAAAACAGAAUCUGUCAAAAACAGAACAGUCUGUAGCAAUCUGUAACUAACGCAAACUUCUGGAACUCUAAAACUCCUACCAAAAUAGGAAGUACUGGAAAUUUUUUUUAUUGAUCAGCUGAAAAAAUAAUCAAUGCAAAAUUACGUUUCUGUGAUUUAUUGAAUUUUUUUUCGUGAGCGCAAAGUUUCUGUUUUUUAGCAGAAUCAAAUCAACUAUCAUCAUAGGUUAUCCUAUAUGUUCUACUUGGCACAAACACUAAUUAAAACAUGAAAACACAUCUAAACAGAAAGUAGAUGCAAAAUUUAUUACUAAACAGAACAAAAACAAAAAAACACAAAGAAAAUUGGGUUGCCUCCCAACUAGCGCUAUCAUUUAACGCCCCUAGCUAGGCAUAAAAGCGAAGAUAGAUCUAAGUAGUG
RNAcentral lists this long non-coding RNA (81440 nucleotides) under Triticum aestivum (bread wheat). Its description in RNAcentral is "long non-coding RNA (TAES_LNC022633)". Lineage: Eukaryota; Viridiplantae; Streptophyta; Magnoliopsida; Poales; Poaceae. The record is from RNAcentral.